RNAcentral lists this long non-coding RNA (78026 nucleotides) under Citrus maxima (pomelo). RNAcentral's name for it is "long non-coding RNA (CMAX_LNC002255)". Lineage: Eukaryota; Viridiplantae; Streptophyta; Magnoliopsida; Sapindales; Rutaceae. The record is from RNAcentral.
GUGAUUCAAUCCAUCAUAAUCUGGCUUAUUAUUGCCAAAAACUUGCAAAACCUCUUGUCUUGCACGUUCUUGCCAAUCUUGAUGCUUGCUCAAUAGCACCAUUGUCCAAUUAAGCAAAACAGAGGUAGUCUCUUGGCCGGCAAAGUAAAAUAGCUUACACUCUUCCAUCACGUCGUUGAAGCUCAUUCCAACAUUUUUGUUAUUUCCAUGUUCUUCAAUUUCUCUAAAAUUGGUGUCCAUCAGUAUGCCUAACAAGUCAUCAUUUGCAGCUUCCCCUGCUUUCAUUGCCUUCUCUCUGUUUUUUAUGAUUCCCAUGAGUGCAGUACUUAUUUCCUUGUCAAGUUCUUUCAUUCUCUUAUUUCUCUUAGUAGGCAAAAACCUACAAAUAAGCAUAGAAACAGUUAUGAGAGAGAUAAUAACUAAAUGACUUAAUCAACCCCUAGUCUUUAUUUAUUUAUUUUUUUGAAUUAUAAUCUACUAAUAUUUUACGUCAGAAAACCACCGAACCAUUUUAGAUUAACACUAUAAUGGCACAAUCUGAGUUAUCUAAUGUUUGGGAGAAAUACUGUUUGGGAUAAAGACGUCGACGAGACCAGGCACGGUGAGCAGAUAUCUGAUGGCAGAGUUCUGCGAACAGGUGUGUUCCGUAAAGGCCUGGUGCGUGGAAGAACAGGAGCAGAAAUAUCCGGCUCGUCCACGAGCACGUCAUCCGCGAGGCCAAUUUCCUGUAAGAGGCAUAAGGCCAUUCCGGCUAGAGGCCGAGAGGCGAGGAGACCCGGUCGACGGCAGUUGGCAGGACAUGCUCUCCAGCCCGAGAAUCUAGGCACGACAGCCACGCUUUCCCCUGAACCGUGGCGUAACACGCAAGAUCUCACAGAACCACGACCGCCACGCUUUCCCCUGAACCGUGGCGUAACACGCAAGAUCCCACGCUUGCCCAUAACGCAGCAGUCGGAGUCCCAUACCGUCUCGGAAAAAGCGGAAAACGGGGAUUCAGGAAGCCUAUAAAAAGGUAGCCAACGAAGGUAAAAGAGUUAGCAUUUUUGAGAUAAAAGAAAAAAACCACGAAAAAGCCAUAAGAUCUGUGGCAAACGUUCCCCGAACCUUCAUAUCUGACUUAAGCGUCGGAGGGUUUGCGCCGGGAAAACAACCGGCGUACUCUGACUUGUCCGUGUGUGCAGGGACAUCUGGAAAAAAAAGGCCUCACGAGGAGACCUCCUGGUCGUGGUGAAGUUGAUCGAGCAGAGAUCCUGAUCGUAGAACGAGGAGAACCGGAAUCUCGCAUCAACAUUUUGGCGCCGUCUGUGGGGAUCAGAGCAAAAAGCUUCUUUUGAUAGCAAGAAGAGGGGUAAAGCAAGUGAAAAGCAAUGGAGACAGGAGGAAGUAGUGCACAAGGGGGUGAUAUGAGGCUUAACGACUCCGUGACGCUGAGGGAGAUAGUCAGUGAAGCACGGGAAAAAGUCAUGUUCGACCGGAUGGAACGGAUGGAAAAGCAGAUGGAGACCUUGACAACCAUCCUGCAUGAGCUGCGGAGCGAGCGAAGGGUAACCCAAGAGGGAGGGGUGAGAGGCGGUGGAAUGGCACCAGGUCCCGAUAGUGCGGGGAGAAGUCAAACCACAGGGAGAUUUUACGGUGAGAGAGGUAACGUACCUCUGCGGGGAGAAUUUCAUAGAGAAAGAGAACGGUCCCCGGCAAGACAGACUUGUGACGAGGACGACGGGGCGGUGAAUGCAGAGGAAACAGAAUUGCGGCAACACUUGCAUGAUGCAGAGCAAGAGCGGGAUCAAGUUGCAGCACGUGACCCUGGUCGUGCAGGGCAGCUGGAGGAGGAAGUGCGCAGACUAGCGCAGAUAAUUGACGUCAUGCAAGGAAGGAACAGAGCCCCUGGUUGGAGGAUAAUGCUGGACGGAGAAUCACCGCUCGCAACAGAGAUCAUGAGGGCAGUUAUUCCGAGAGAUUUCCGCCUCCUAGACCUCAGAUACUCGGGAAGAACUGAUCCGCUGGUGCACAUAGAGCGCUUCAACGACAUAACUGGGGUACAAGAAUUAUCUCAAUCCCAAAGGUGCAGGGUGUUCCCACUAUCCCUUGAGGGACGUGCACGAGAAUGGUACAGGAAACUUCCUCGGGGCAGCAUUAAAACCUUCGAACAGAUGUGCCAGGAAUUCGCAGAGCAGUUUAGUGGGGCAAUGGCACCGGAAGAUGACAUGAUGGAGCUGAAAAGCAUGAAACAGGGGGAGCAAGAAACCCUUCGGGAAUUUAUCAAGAGGUUUCAUCGGGUUGUCCUCGACUUAGGAGCCUUCAACCACCCUCAGGCGUUAAGGGGAUUGAAAGAAUGGGUGAAGAUAGGAAGGCUGUGGUACAAUCUGAGAAGCCCAGCUAUUCAAACGUAUGCAGCUGCAUACGAACAGGCUAAGAGAGACAUCGAGAUUGAAGAGGAGAAGGCUGCACGGAUCAAGACAGAUCAGUUAGAAGGGUUGGGGGGGAAAGAGAAGAAAGCAUUACCGGGGAAUGGGCCGAUCAGGAGGAGGGAUCACCAGGCCUCCGGUAGUGGAGCAGGAGGCCGGGUAACUGCUUACCAGCCUCAUCAGAGGCCACCGCAGUAUCAGCGCAGCGGGGCGCAACCUCCUCGUUCCCCAGCUAGGGAGCCUUGGAGAAGGCAUGAUUCGGCAUCUGGUGGUCUUCAUCAACAUUCCCACGGUAGCAGAACGAACAGACCAGAAGUACUUCCCCCGCCCCCAACUCAGGGCGGGGCGAACAGAGAAAGAGCAGUGCACCUGAUCGACCAGAACCAGGACUAUGGGCGGUACACUUCCUUGAAGAUGUCCCUGGAUGAGGUGUACGAGGCCAUAAAGGAUCGAGGGCUGCUCCACCUCCCUACACCAAUAACAAAGCCACCCAACAGGAGGGAUAGAGGACGUUAUUGCAAGUUCCAUGGCACCCAUGGCCAUACCACAGCAGAGUGUAGAGAUCUCAAGACCCAGGUCGAAUAUUUGGUGAGAAAUCGGUACCUAGACGAGUUUAUGGAUGGGACUUUCCCGAUGGUGGCCACAACAGAUGAAGGGGAGCAGAGUGGUAGAAACUUGAGGCGCGAGCAACCCGCAGUAAGGGUGAUAGCUGGAGGCCCAACAUUGGCCGGAGAUUCCAACAGAUCGAGAAAAAAUUAUGCUAGGUACGCCAUGACCAGUAAAGAGGUACUCUUCAACACCCCAGCAGCCAAACGAGCAAGGGUCAGGCAAGUGCCGAUCAUGUGGACGGAUGAGGAUGAGGAAGGUAUUCUAUACCCCCACGAGGAUGCUUUAGUCAUCAAGGCUACUGUCGCUAGCAAGAAGUUUGACCGGAUACUGAUUGAUACAGGGAGCUCAGUUGAUGUCCUAUUUAAGUCAACCCUGGAAGAGAUGGGAGUAACCGACCGGAAGUUGGAAUACACCAAUACCUCCUUGAAGGGGUUCGGAGGAGGGAAGCUGGUCCCACUGGGCAUGGUCGAGCUGUCUAUCACAAUUGGGAGCUCCCCGACAGAAAGAACAAUGAUACUAGACUUUGUCGUAAUGGAUGAGGAAGGUCCUUACCAGAUGAUCCUAGGUCGGCCAUUUUUAAGGAUGAGCAAAGCGGUGUUGUCCAACCAUUAUCUGGCUCUGAAGUACCGGGUGAAUGGGGUAGUGGGGGUGGUACGAGGAGACCAGAGGAUCGCAAGAAGCUGCUACUCCUCGGCAGCAAGGGAAGCAAUGCAGAUAACAUCCCUCGAUACCCGAGUGGAAAACAAGAAUGGCAGACAAGAACCUGUAAAGGAUCUGGAAACAGUAAGCCUGGGACCAGAGAACCCGGGAAAGACGAUCAGAAUCGGGUCGAGACUCAAGGGAGAGCAAAAGCAGGAGUUGGUGAAAUGCUUACAGGCUCAUGCUGAUGUGUUUGCUUGGACACAUGAAGACAUGCCAGGGAUUGACCCUGAGGUAGCAUGUCAUAAGCUGGCAAUAAAGAAAGGUGCUCGGGCAGUAAGGUAGAAGAGGAGGUGCUUCAACCAGGAGAGGUACGAGGCUAUAAAUAGCGAGGUGGAGAAGCUCUUGAGAGCAGGGUUUAUUCGGGAAGUCAGUUACCCUGAGUGGAUAUCGAAUGUGGUGUUGGUAAAGAAGGCAAACGGCAAGUGGAUGAUGUGUGUGGAUUUCACAGACCUCAAUAAGGCGUGCCCAAAAGACAGCUUCCCUUUACCCAAGAUCGAUCAGCUAGUAGAUUCAACGGCUGGACAUGGUCUGCUCAGCUUCAUGGACGCGUUCUCGGGAUACAACCAGAUCCCCAUGUACGAGCAGGAUGAGGAGAGCACGGCUUUCAUCACUAACCAAGGUUUGUUCUGUUACAGGGUAAUGCCAUUCGGUCUCAAAAAUGCUGGGGCCACCUAUCAGAGGCUGGUGAACAAAGUCUUUAAGCCGUUGAUUGGGAAAAUCAUGGAGGUGUACGUGGAUGACAUGAUCACCAAGUCCAAAAUCCCGAAGGAACAUGUCGGACACCUCGAGGAGACAUUCGAGCUUUUGAGGAAGUAUAAGAUGAAGCUCAACCCGGAGAAGUGUGCUUUCGGGGUCGAGUCAGGGAAAUUCCUUGGAUUUAUGGUGAGCCAUAGGGAGAUUGAAGCAAAUCCCGAGAAAAUCCAGGCGAUUGUGCAGAUGACGUCUCCUCGUAACCUGAAGGAGAUGCAGAGCCUCACGGGGAGGUUGGCGGCGUUGAGCAGAUUCAUAUCCAAGGCUACAGAUAAGUGUCAGCCAUUCUUUCAAGUGAUAAGGAGGGGAAAGAAAACAGAAUGGACCCCAGAAUGCGAGGAAGCCUUCCGGAACUUGAAGCAAUACUUGCAGCAAGCUCCGCUGCUGUCCACACCGAGGGAUGGGGACAAGGUGUAUCUGUAUUUGGCGGUAUCGGAUCGGGCCGCCAGUUCUGUUCUGGUGAGAGAGGAAGAAGGAGUUCAAUAUCCGAUAUACUACACCAGUAAGGCCCUGCUCGACGCUGAGACCAGAUACCCACCGUUGGAGAAAUGGGCACUCGCCCUUGUGGUUGCUGCUCAGAAGUUGAGGCCAUAUUUUCAAGCAUUCCCGGUCUCGGUAAUAACAAACCAGCCGUUGCGUCAAACUCUUCACAAGCCAGACGCCUCUGGUCGGCUUGUCAAGUGGGCUGUAGAGCUGAGCGAAUUCGACAUAGACUAUAAAUCCCGCGCAGCGAUAAAGGCCCAGGCAAUGGCCGAUUUCGUAGCUGAAUUCACAGAGCCCGAAGUAUGCUUAGAUCAACAAGAUGCAGUUAUAGGCAAUGACGAAACUCAAGUAUGGCAGAUGUCUGUGGAUGGGUCAUCAGGGGAGCGGGGUUCAGGAGCAGGGAUUGUCUUGGAAGGUCCAGAGGGAGAUGAGAUAUCUUACGCUGUAAAGUUGGAAUUUGCAGCCACGAAUAACCAGGCAGAGUAUGAAGCCUUGAUAGCAGGUCUGGAAUUGGCUAAGGCCGUGAAAGCAGACAGAGUUAAGAUCAGAACUGAUUCCCAGCUGGUUGCGAAUCAUGUCAGCGAAAGAUUCCAACCAAGAGAGGAGAAGAUGGAGCAGUACCUGAAGAUAGUCAGGCAGCUGAUGGGGAAGUUCGAAGCAGUGGAGGUGAUACAAAUCCCCAGGGAGCAGAAUAAUCGAGCAGACAUUUUGGCUAGGAUGGCAGCAGUAGCCGACCCAAAAAUGCCAAAGUCGGUCCCUCUGGAGGUGAAGUCCAGCCCAAGUAUUGAUUAGAAUUUGGGGGUGUUGCGGAUAGAACAAAAAUGUUCGUGGAGGGACCCGAUAGUUUCGUACCUUAGAGACGGGGUGUUACCACCAGAUAAGCUGCGAGCUCGCAAGAUUAGAGCUCAGGCCUCGAGAUACACGAUGAUUGAUGGGGUACUGUAUCGGCGAGGAUAUACACUACCUUUCCUUCGAUGUUUGGAUGAGGACGACGCGGAUUACGUACUGAGAGAAGUACAUGAAGGAAUUUGCGGAAAUCAUUCUGGCGGGAGGUCCCUGGCCUACAAGGUUCUAAGGCAGGGAUAUUUCUGGCCGACAAUGCACCAGGAUGCGCAAGAGAAGACCAGGAGUUGUGUAAGCUGCCAGAGUUUUGCAAAUUUCUCUAACCAACCACCAGAGAAGCUCACCUCCAUGGCCUCCCCUUGGCCAUUUGCUCAAUGGGGAAUCGAUCUGAUCGGCCCAUUGCCGAAGGCACGAGGAGCAGCAACACAUGCAAUAGUUGCUAUAGAUUACUUCACGAAGUGGAUAGAGGUAGAAGCCCUUAGCAGAAUCACUGAGAAGAAAACAACAGACUUCGUGUGGAGAAACCUGGUCUGUCGAUACAGGAUCCCUUAUGCCUUGGUAACGGAUAAUGGCAGGCAGUUCGAUAAUCACAGCUUCAGGGAUUUCUGCCAGAACCUCGGGAUAGAGCUGAAGUAUUGCUCGCCUGCUCACCCUCAAUCGAAUGGACAAGUAGAAGCAGCCAACAAGACCAUCAAGAGGCUUUUGAAAACCAGGCUUGGAGCAAAAAAGGGUGCGUGGGUUGACGAGCUGCCAGGUGUGUUAUGGGCAUACAGAACAACCCACAAAACCGCAACCGGGGAGACACCGUUCGCUUUGGCUUUCGGACACGAAGCGGUCGUGCCGGCUGAGAUAGGAACAACCACACACCGGACAAGCCAUUUCGAUGAGCAGGAGAACGACGAGCAGAUAUGUUUGAAUCUUGAUCUGCUAACGGAAAGAAGGGAGCAAGCAGCCGAACGAUCAGUCAUUUACCAACAGAGGGUUGCUCGGUAUUACAACCAGAAGGUGAACAUACGACAAUUCAGGGUCGGUGACUGGGUACUGAGAAGAGUGAAUCAGAGCACCAAAGAUUCGACUCAAGGAGUGCUGGGACCGAAUUGGGAAGGGCCAUAUAGAGUCAAGCAGAUAGCGGGACCCGGAGCUUACAAGGUGGUUCGCACGAACGGCCACGAGGUGAAACGCCCAUGGAACGCAGCACACCUCCGAAAAUACUUCCAGUAAGGCUUGUACACAUUUGAAAGCUAUUCUUGCUCAUGACAAUUAUCGUUUAUCUUUUACGCUUUAUGUCCAAACAAUUUUAUGUAAGACGAAUCCUGCCAUUAAUGGAACGUCGAGGAGUUUCGUUCGCUUGAAACCGAGAAAAUAGCCUAAGGCAUGCAAAGGCUCGACAAAGUCUCAAAGCCUGUCUUAUGGCGAGACAGGAGCCAAGCAUGCCAGGAUCUGCUCGGCCACGAGAAGGCGAGCAGAAUCCCAAUCCUUGAAGAAAUGCCUAAGGCAUGCAAAGGCUCGACAAAGUCUCAAAGCCUGUCUUAUGGCGAGACAGAAGCCAAGCAUGCCAGGAUCUGCUCGGCCACGAGAAGGCGAGCAGAAUCCCAAUCCUUGAAGAAAUGCCUAAGGCAUGCAAAGGCUCGACAAAGUCUCAAAGCCUGUCUUAUGGCGAGACAGGAGCCAAGCAUGCCAGGAUCUGCUCGGCCACGAGAAGGCGAGCAGAAUCCCAAUCCUUGAAGAAAUGCCUAAGGCAUGCAAAGGCUCGACAAAGUCUCAAAGCCUGUCUUAUGGCGAGACAAAAGCCAAGCAUGCCAGGAUCUGCUCGGCCACGAGAAGGCGAGCAGAAUCCCAAUCCUUGAAGAAAUGCCUAAGGCAUGCAAAGGCUCGACAAAGUCUCAAAGCCUGUCUUAUGGGGAGACAAAAGCCAAGCAUGCCAGGAUCUGCUCGGCCACGAGAAGGCGAGCAGAAUCCCAAUCCUUGAAGAAAUGCCUAAGGCAUGCAAAGGCUCGACAAAGUCUCAAAGCCUGUCUUAUGGCGAGACAGAAGCCGAGCGUGCCAGGAUCUGCUCGACCGCGCGAAGGCAAACCGAAUCCCAGGCAUUGAAAAAUCUUCAAAGGCAUGUGGCAAAACCAUGGGCCAAGCCGGAACCUGCUCGUCUAGACAAAGACAAGCAGAUUCUCAAACGAAAAUUAACUCAUAAUUACAACACAAGAAAGUAAUCAAAAAACAUUUUUAUUAAUUUGUUAAUGAUUAACAGAGGGGAUAAUCUUCAUGAAUAUUGUCCAUUACAAUAAAAGAAAUAUAUCAAAAAGACGGUGGAUCAGUGAGCCGAGCAGCAUCGGUUGGCUAGACCUCCUCAGGUGCAGGGGGGUAUCACCAGUUGCGUCCGGGGGGGUGCUCGCCUCGCCAACAUCAGCAGGGACUGCACGAGGAGGGACUGCACGAGGAGGAGAGUUUUCCUCCUCAAUCACGAUCGGCUCUACCCCAUCGGCAUCUUCCUUAGCCGCCUCUUCGUCCAUGUGUUGAGCAACACCAGCUGCAAGGUCAUCCAUCUUCAGAUCAGGGUGUUGCUUCCCGAGGAUGGCCAUGAUGCAACGAUAGGAAUGCCGAAGGCCCUGGUCGUACUGGUUGUCAGCCUCCCUCUCCAAGUUCUCGACCUGAGCUCGGUGGGAGUCGCGGAGAGAUUCGAGCUGAGCCUCAUACGUAGCCUUCUGCCUUUGCAGAUCCUCCUUGACCUUGGUAAGCUCCUCCUCGAGGGAAAUGGCUUUUGCUUGAGCAAGUGAUUCUUGCUCUAUCAGCUUCAGAUUCUCGAGAUUCAGCUCCCAUGCUUUCUUCUCGGCAACGUCAGCCCUGGUCGUCGCCAAUUGAAUAUCCUCUUUCAUCUUCCGGUCGUAGCGGCCAACCUUAGCCUUGUAAUAGGUGGUCAGGCAGCUGAGGUGGAAAGCGCUAUGCUGCAUGGCCCCCACCAGCUCACCCAAGAUGCGGCCGUCAAAGUCCUCCAGGUCCUUCUUGCUCACGAGUUUAGUUAACUCAUUGAGGUAGGGGACCAGAUGUUCUGCUCGGCUGUCAGGUAAGCGAGACCGAGGCCCGACAGGAGGAGAAGAAGAAGAAGCAGGAUCUGUGGCUGCUCCACUAGCUUCCCCGACUUUUACAGGAGCAGGAGGUAAAGUCUUCAAGGGUGGGACCUGCUGCACGAUGUUGGCCCGCUUUGCAGCAGGGGCAUCCUUACUCUGGUCCCUCUUCGUGGUUGGAGGUCGAGAACGUUUUCGGGUCAGAGCCCCAAUCACAGCGUCCUCCAUCUUAUGGCCAGGAAGUAUCAAGCGAGACUCGAGCAAGUUGUAUGUAGUUAACAGUUCUCGGCUCGAGCAGGAAUUGGCUAGUACAGCCUCGACCCGUUUAAGCUGGUCAGGUUCAAGCGGGAAGUGGACACCCCAAGAAACUACAACACAAACAGACACUUGGUUAGAGACAAGCCAAUAAAGCAAGAACAAUUAUGAACGCAAGACAUCUAGAGCGAGCAGGCAACCUGGGACCGUGAAACGGGGUGGGACGCGACAAUCCUUCCCGUCUAUUUGUGCAAUUUGACCCCAAGGACCCCCAGCAAAAAAGAAUUUCCUCUUCCAAGCCCCACCACCACCGGUUGGAAGAUCGGUUAUGGGUUUCCGGCUCUUGGUGCUAGAUUGGAAGUAGUACCAGCCGGCAUCUUUUGGGCUGCUCUUUAGCUGGUACAAGUGCUUCACCUCAUCAACCGUGGGCUCGCUUUGGCAACAUCUGUCCCACAAUAUGAACAGACCAGAGAGCACUCUCCACCCAUUGGGAUUCAGCUGACCAGGAGCUAGAUUUAGCCCGUUAAGUAUCCGGGCAAAGUAGGGUUGCAAGGGACACCUCAGCCCGUACUUAAAGCUCUCUAGAAACAGGGUAACGUACCCCCUAGGAGGCCGGCUGGGAGCAUCCUUCUUUUCUGAGACCUUGAGAGGUAUCUCACCAGGAAUGCUAUACCUAAGCCGGAGGUCAUUGAGCUCGUCAAACAGGGUCGUGCACGUCAUGUAAUCAAUGGCAUAAUCGCGCGACAAGGCUCUGCCUCCUACUGUACCCCGUCCUUCUGGUCGUGAUGUUCCAGAUGGAGACACCUCACCAGAGUCACCUUCCCCAUUCUCACUUAAGGUGUCCUCAGAGCCAGAAGGUCCCUCCUCACCAUUACUUCCGCUCGUAGAGGUUGUUUGGGGAGACAUCCUCCUAGCACUAGUCCUGACACUAGACCUAAUGGGUUCUAAGGGGAUCCCGGGGUCAAAAGCAGGAUCGGUGAGCAGACUAGGCAGGAAGUCCAACUCGUCGUCAUCGACCUCAAUGACCUUCUCUUUGCCUUUCGACAUUCCCUAAGCUCUAACCGCAACACCACCAACUACUACCCAAACAGAAGAAAAGAGAAAUUAUCUACAACUAUCCGAGACCAAGGAAACAGAAGAAAUACCUGAAGUAAUGGUUCAGUCGGUGAAAGUCUGAGAUGGAGGCCUUUUAUGCCGGAACUUCUUUGCCGGAGAGGCAGAGACGGAGACGGAGUGAAUGAUGAAUAUGCCGUUCGAGAGGGUUUGGCUUUCCUAAUGAGGACGGACUCUUGGGUUGCCAGCAUUUAAUAGCGCCGAAUCCCGAGGGUCUCAUAACCGUCGGUUUGAAAUUCAAAUGGAGGGAGGGAUUUCUGCCACGUCACCUCGUCCGCAAUUAAAUGCGACAUGACUCUUGGCAGCCUUUUUCAAUCCUACGCGAGCGAUAACUAUCGAGUUUCUACUGCUGGUCCACUACAUUACCCAACACCAGAAACUGGGGGACCGGUGUUUGGGAGAAAUACUGUUUGGGAUAAAGACGUCGACGAGACCAGGCACGGUGAGCAGAUAUCUGAUGGCAGAGUUCUGCGAACAGGUGUGUUCCGUAAAGGCCUGGUGCGCGGAAGAACAGGAGCAGAAAUAUCCGGCUCGUCCACGAGCACGUCAUCCGCGAGGCCAAUUUCCUGUAAGAGGCAUAAGGCCAUUUCGGCUAGAGGCCGAGAGGCGAGGAGACCCGGUCGACGGCAGUUGGCAGGACAUGCUCUCCAGCCCGAGAAUCUAGGCACGACAGCCACGCUUUCCCCUGAACCGUGGCGUAACACGCAAGAUCUCACAGAACCACGACAGCCACGCUUUCCCCUUAACCGUGGCGUAACACGCAAGAUCUCACAGAACCACGACCGCCACGCUUUCCCCUGAACCGUGGCGUAACACGCAAGAUCCCACGCUUGCCCAUAACGCAGCAGUCGGAGUCCCAUACCGUCUCGGAAAAAAGCGAAAAACGGGGAUUCAGGAAGCCUAUAAAAAGGUAGCCAACGAAGGUAAAAGGGUUAGCAUUUUUGAGAUAAAAGAAAAAAACCACGAAAAAGCCAUAAGAUCUGUGGCAAAACGUUCCCCGAACCUUCAUAUUUGACUUAAGCGUCGGAGGGUUUGCGCUGGGAAAACAACCGGCGUACUCUGACUUGUCCGUGUGUGCAGGGACAUCUGGAAAAAAAAGGCCUCACGAGGAGACCUCCUGGUCGUGGUGAAGUUGAUCGAGCAGAGAUCCUGAUCGUAGAACGAGGAGAACCAGAAUCUCGCAUCAACAUCUAAACCAAAAUGAGUUGCGUGGAUCUUAUUCUCAGUAAUUGGCCCCCCAAAAAAAAAAAAAAUUCAACUCCCACCAUGUUAAUCAAAGCCGAAAUAUAACUAAGCAUUUAUGAUCUAACAAGGAAAUGUACAUGUACCUCCAUCCUGGAAUAUAGACUGAACGAAUAACUUGUAUUGUGAGUUCAGCUAGCUCUGAUUGGAGCUGGAAAAUCCGUCUUCCUUCUUCAUAAUUACUCCCAAAAGCAGUUCGAGAAAUCACAUCCCCUGUCAAAUUUGCAAGAUAAGGCCAUACAUCCAACUCACAUGAUCCUUCAGUAGACAUUAGCUUCUCCCACUCUGUAAUUAUGUCACUACUACUUUGGCAGAAUGCUGGCAACAUAAGCUGUAAUGAGAGCAAGAAAUCAAAAUGAAAAAUGAAGGGAAUAUGGAAUUUUCCAAUGAGAUUUAUGUAAACAGAUAAAGAAAUUAAUAACCUUGAGCUUCUCUUGGCGGAAUGCUGGGUUGAUAAUUUUUCUGUGUUUAGCCCACUGCUCACCCUCAUAGUUAACCAAGCCAACUCCCAGUAUCCUGGCAAGUGGGUUUGAAUUGAUUUUUGGAAAAUCAUUGAUCUUGGUAAAUAUCUCUUUUAUUUGAUCAGGAUUCGUUAUAUUCACCCUUGGUGUCGGACCAAACCACAUGAAAGAAUUCUUACCUGCAUUAGUUUUUUAACAUUAUAUAUGCAAAAGUUAGAGGGCAGAUGCUCCAUUGCGCAUGGCCACAGUUUAAGCAGUAAAAGUUCAGUGAUUUUAUUCAAAACUUAGUCAAGAAUAAAUGCCAAUUGAUUUUACUUCAAUCAUUAAACUUCUAUUCCAAAUAACUAGGCCUACUACAAGGUAAGAAGUUACAUACAUGGUGUGAUUUCACAAGAUUUUGCAAAUGAUGUUGAAACUACAUAACGCUAUCGUGCACUGUACGGGGAGUAACACCACCCACAGACCAAUUUUCCCUCUGGGCACUUUACACGUGGCAUAGCUCAUCAACAGGUUGAGUUAGAGCAACUAUCCCAUCUUAUCGAGAAAAUUAUUGGUCUCUCGUAGGGGUAGACAUUCGGUUGGGGCAAUAAAAAAUCAAAUGAUUCAUAAAUCUCCAAACCAAUUGGUUUUUAUUUAAUUCCAACUAAAUUGAAAACCCAAAUGGUUCCGAGAGAAAAAUUAAAACUCACAAAUUUAAAUUGACGAUUGAACUUUGAAAUUUCUCCUAUGUGAUUUUGUAUUGUUAUUUUCUUGUUUUAUUUAUUGUUGUGAAUUUGUAAUUUGUAGUGAAUUUGUAAACUAUGUACGUUUCAUGUUGUGUCUUUAUUAUGUUGAUUUAUUUAUAUUAAAUUUUAUUAUGUAGUUUAUUAUUCGUGGAUUUAUAGGCUUAAAAUUGUUGUUAUAGUAAUAUUAUAUUAUUAUAUUUUUUUUUGAAUAAAUAUACAAGUAAAGUUUGUAUUAAUAUAUAUAUAUAUAUAUAUAUAUAGAAGUAAAAUUGCUUGGACUAAAUAAAAUCAAAACUAAACCCAAUCAUAAAAUCAAACCGACCUAAAUUAAUUCGGACCAAUUCAAUUCUAGUAUUUGAUUCGUGUUCAAUGCACAAAAUGAUAAAUCAAUUGAUUUUAGUUUAGUUCGGUUUUCAACCAGAGCCGAACUAAACUAGAUACUUCCCAAUCUCUACAUACAUGUAGCUUUUAGAGACAAAAUUCCAAGGGGUGGCCUACCACCUCAAGUGCCACACAUGUUCUGUGAUUUAGCAGAGGAGUGGGUACCUAAUCGGGAUCCACUUCCAGUCCCACAAGGAAACGGCUGAGCAUCAGCGGUCAAUCCCACCCUACCUCACCGAAGUUUCUCUCAUAGCAUUAAUGUUUAAAAACGUUUAUCACUAUAUAUAACGUUUCUUCAUAAUAAACAAAGAAUAAUGGAUAAAGCACAAGGAAAGCUGCAUCAUCGAUAUCCCAGACCUAUAAUUAGUUCUUUCUUUGUUCGAAGGAGAUUAAAAUUAUGUUUUAACCCAUAAAAAUUUUCAAGAACCAACUUUUUAUGUCAUACUUUAACUGAUAUUUAUAAUCAAAAUCCAAUUUUUAGUUUAUAAUUAUAACUCUAACGAACCUUCUAAAUUAACUUUGUAAAUAAUGACACCGUUCUAAUAUUGGAUUUCAGGAGGAAGCUACUUCUAAGUAUUUGAAAGGGGUCACACAGCCAACCAAUGAGUGGAUUGGCUGCUACCUACUGAAAUUGGAAACAAGUAAAAGAGAAUAUGAGGCCGCUGACAUACAUACCAUAAUCCUUGAACAGUUUGGGAAGGAAUGGAUUAACACGAACUGCAGCGUCAUCAUCCAAACUGAGAGGUCUGGCUUUUGCUUUCUUCAACAUGAUGGAACUUUCUUUCAAGUCACCAAACAGAAGCCUGUAAGAAUUGCCUUUUAAACCUUGCUGUCUCAGGAAUUUCUCCAGCUUCUUGGGCCUCAGCCACAACCAGUUCAGCACCAUCCAUGCCCAUGUUACCAAUGUUACAAUGACAAUGGUGAACGCUAUGGAUUUCAGAGUCAAUUCCAUUUCACGCUCAGAAAUUUUUUAAGUGUUCUGAGAAAUGGGAGAGUAUAUAUCUUUGAGGUUGGAAGAUUGGUUUAAAGUGACGGACAAAAUCAUUUUUGUCUGCAUGUGUUUGAUGGACCAGAUACUAUCUCCAACAAGUGGUGUUAAAAGAGAAUACGGGUCUAAUAUUUUAUACAACUGUAUUGUCAUCUUUGUGUACUUGUCACUCAAGAUUUUGUUCUAGAACCAUAGAGUGUAUGGUUCGGUUAAUUAUAUGUUCUAAAAAAUAAACUAAAAUGUCAUCAAAAAUAAAAUUAUGCGUGUGGAUAUGUAAAUAAGAAUUUCAAGUAAUGACAUCUGUACUCUUAAAAUUUAUGAAUUUAUUAUUAAACCGUGUGUUGGUUAACCAUUGUUCAAUCGUAAGUAGAUAAAAAGGUUUAACAAGGACGUAGCUAGGAUCAAAAUUGAGUUGGGGCACAUUUAAAAUCGAACAUGAUCAGGGAUACAACUAUUUGUGUGAUAAGUUCUCAUUUGACGAGUAGUGUUGUGUGUCUUACAACUCUCAAAUGGGUGAUUGUCACAUACGCAAUCGUACUCCAUAAGGUGUGUGACUGCACGCACUUGAUUAGUACUUCAUUUAAAAUAUAAUAUAAUUUAAAAAAAAUUAUAUAGCAAUAAAUAACAUGUCAAUUAUAAUAUUCAUUGAUAUUAAAUUUACUCAUUACAAUUGUCCUUUGUUGAAGGCUCCUCGAUGGGAUUUAAUGUGUUGAAGAUAACAUGAAACAGUUUCAUUAUUAAUAUAAUCAAAAGCAAAUUUUUCAAUGCAUAAAAUUAAGUUAUCACUUAAUUUAUUCUUUAAAUUAAUUUAUUCUCUAAAGUCUUUUUAUGAUAGCAAAUAUGUUCAUAAGAGUUAACAUGAAUACAUGAUAAAACUAGGAAUUUUCUAGACAAAAGGUCAAUUGGAAUAAUUGAAAAUUAAAAUUAACUAGAGUUAGAAUUUAGGGAUCAAUAUUAAAAAACUAAAUAAUUGUAGGAAAGUGCCUUUGAUUUAUGGGAACUAGAAUGAAAUCCACAUACGGACGCAUAUGCACUGCUCUGAUCGACUAUUCUACUACCACUGUAACAAAUAAAUAAAUAAAGAGUAAAAAGAGUAAAAUGAAUUUCUUUUGUUUAUUUAGUUUUUUAUUUAUUUUAAUAUCUACAGUCUUUCGUCUUGAUUUAACUUUCAUAAUAUUUAAAAUUUAAACUAGGAGUAACAUGAAAUCUUUUAAAAUUGUUUGGCACACUUUCAUAAUUUUUUAUUUUAGCUAGAGCACUUAAAUAAUAAAUAAAAUAAUUUUUUAAAUAAUUAUAAAAAAAAAUUCAAAAGCAAGCUGGGGCAUGGGCCCAAAUUGGUCCCAUGCUGGAUUUGUCCAUAGUUUAACUUGAAAUUUUUAGUCAAAUGGUGGAUUUUUAUACUCUCACUUUAGUAAGGGCAUAGGUUUAAGUUCUCACGUUAAGGACUCGAUUAUUCCUCUUCCAAUUAAAAAUGAGUAGAAAUAUCCCCUUUAUUGUUGUCGAUAAAGUAAAUAUUUCUCUAAUUUGUGAGGAUAGAAUUCGAAUAGUGUCAUAAUAGAUUUGAAUUAAGGUAGUGCUAGUGUAUUUUUAACUGUAAAUAGAGCAUUAUAACAGCUUCAAAAUUUUUAAUGUCAAGCUUCCAAGCUUCAUUUCUUUUCGAAUAGCUCGACCAGUAUAGCUGCUGGGGGAUAAAGCUUGGGCAUCAAUAUCCCACAUUACUUAUAUAGUGUGGUAUUUCUAAAUACCAAUACCCCACAUUGUUUAGAUAAGAGAGUAUAAGUUGAUUUAUAUAUAGAAACUAAAUAUAAUGUGGUAACAAGUCCAUAAAAAGAAGGCCCACGUACACGAAACCAAGUCCAACAGAGGAGCCCGUUCCCAAAAACCAAUAACUCAUGUGCAGGGGGCCCACCUCCCUCAUGGAAUUAUUUUGCAUGUGCGUGGGCUUAGUCAUCUUUUAGUUUUUGCCCUUUUUAUUUUAUUUAUUUUAAUUCAAAUUACAUUGAGAAUUUGAUUCCUAAUCAAAUUAUGAUUCAAUCAAAUCCUUUUAUAUGUAAAAUUUAGAUUUAGACCGGAAGAAGGGGCUAGGGCUUGCAUUUAUUCAAAGAGCUCAAUAUAUCACACUAUGGUCAUUCGAAAACUUGUUCUCUUGUCCUAUGUUUUCCUUUUCUUCGUUGUUGUAUGUUUUGCUAUUCUAAACUAUCAUGUUGAAGUGCAACAUCGAGAUUAAAUCGCUUUUAUCAGUCCAUCUUGCACUGAGAUAUUGGAUCUUGAGGUGUAAAAUUUGAUCUUAAGGACAAUGCUAUCGCACGCCUUUACUAUUUGCUAUUUUUCAUCAAAAUUUCACUGUUUUUGGUCCUAAAAUUCCAACAAUCUUAAGAUCAAAUAUGAGUGAUAUUCAACCACAAAAUCUGUCUUCAUUAGCUGUUGGACAUGAUGCUCCCGCAACCUCUAGACUUAUUGUUCCCACUAUCGAUCUUCUUGCAGUUGCUUCCACUAUAAUCACUAGAAAAAAAAGAAAAAAAAAACUUGCCAAACACCUCCAAGAUUGAACUGUUCAAUGGCGAAAAUUUCAAGCACUGGCAAAAAAAGGUCUUUGAUGUACUAGAUGUUCAUGACCUUGCUAACUAUCUACAUUCAUCACCACUUGAAGAGGGCAUUGAAGAUAAUGGAAAGAAACUCCAGAAUUAGAAUACUGGUAACAAGGUCUACAAGUACACAAUAUUGAAUACUCUUGCUAGUUCUCUUUUCGAUGUUUACUAUUCAUAUAAGAAUGUGUCUGAGAUAUGGGCACUACUUAAGAAAAAAUAUGUGGUUGAAAGUGUUAGAACUCAACAAUAUUAAAACCUCAAAGCAUAAGAAGAAGCAAGUGAAUCUUGAAGAUGUUGUUAUAUAUAUUAAGAUUGAAGAGAAGAACAGAAUUAGAGAUGCAUUUGAUAAAGUAAAGGAAUGUCAUUCCAAUGCAAAUCUAAUAGAGAACACUCAUCAACCUAAUAAAAAGCAGAACAGUCUUAAUAAUAAACACAUUAAUAACUCCAAAAGGCCCAUUGCUAAGAAGAAAGGUCAUUGUUUUGUUUGUGGAAAAAUUAUGUAUUAUGCUCAUCAAUGCAAGCAUAAAGCUAUGAGAAAGGAAGACAACAAAAAACCUCUUAAAGCCAAUAUGGUUGAAGGAGAAGGAGAUGACACAUUGUUGUUGUAGUUGUCUCUGAGGUGAACAUGGUGGAUGGAAGAAAAGAUUGGGUGAUUGAUUUUGGAGCUACUAGACAUAUAUAUAUAUAACAAUAAAAACUCUUUUUUUGACUAAAUCCAGUGCGGGAAGGAGAGCAAGUUAUUUACGUUGGUGAUUCAUGAUCUACUUUAGUCCUAAGCAAAGGUAAAAUUCUUCUCAAGCUUACAUCUAGGAAAACCCUCUCAUUGAGUAAUGUACUCCAUGUUCCUAAGAUCAAAUACAAUCUGUUAUUUGUUUUUAUGUGGGUAAAACUGGGUUCAAAGUGUCCUUUGAGGUGAUAAAAUUGUAAUUACAAAAAUAUGAUAUUUGUUGAUAAAGGGUAUUGUUCUAGAGAACUCUUGAAAGUUAAUGUAUCCAAUGUCAUAAUAAACGAAAAGGCUUCUUCUGCUUGUGUAGUUGACUCUAUUGAUUUUGGCACAGGAGACUUAGUCAUAUGAAUUUUUCUUAUAUUAAUAAAAUGAGAGAACUUGGGUUACAGUCUAAUUUGAGCUUAUCUAAUGACAAAUGCAAGGUGUGUGUUGAAGCCAAAUCCACUAAGAAGACAUGUAGAUGAGUUCAAUAUAGAGAAAUUGAACUUCUCAAUUUAAUUCACAACGACCUUGAUGAUUUGAAACAAACCAUGACUAGAGAAGGCAAAAGGUAUUAUAUUACUUUUAUUGAUGAUUUUUUUAGAUAUACAAAAUUAUAUCUAUUAAGAAAUAAAAAUAAAGCAGGUGAAAAGUUCUUAGUCUAUAAAAGUGAAGUUGAAGAUCAAUUUAAUAAGAAAAUUAAAAGAUCAAGAACUAAUAAAGGAGGUGAAUAUGAUUCAAGCAUAUUAAAUGCUUAUUGUGAGAAUCAUUGUAUCAUCCAUGAAGUGAUACCUCUCUAUUCACCUGAAUCUAAUGGUAUAGCUAAAAGGAAAAACAAAACUUUGAAGAACACGGUAAAUGUUAUGAUAAUAAGUUCUAGGGCACUGCUGAAAUUAUAAGAGGAAGCUAUGUUAUUUGCCUGUCAUAUUCAAAACAAAAUACCUUAUAAGGAAAUAGGCAAGACACCCUAUGAAUUAUGGAGAGGCUAUAAGUAUAACUUAUCACACCUCAAAGUAUAGCGGUGUCUAGCCAAAGUUCUUAAAAUGGAUCCCAAAAAAUAAGGUUAGGACAAAAAACUAUCAACUGUAUGUUUAUAGAGUAUGCCCACAAGAGUGUUGCCUGUAGGUUCUUGGUGUUACAUGAUAAAAGUAUCUCAUUUGAGGCUAAUACCAUCAUUGAAUCCAAGAAUGUUAAGUUCUUUGAAUCUAUUUUUCUUUAAAAGACUAGCAUUGAGAAAUAAUUAUCCUAUACCGAGUCAACAAUUGAUUCUUCUGAAAGUUCAAAUGUGAAACUAAGAAAAUGCACCAGGAUGAGAAAAGCUACAGUGAUGAUUUCUAUAUCUUUCUUGCGGAAAAUGAUCCUCGGACCUUCACAGAAACUAUGACUUCUCAAGAUGCACUAUAGUGGAAAGAAGCUAUCAACAAUUAACUAAAAUCUAUAAUGAGCAAUCAUGUAUGGGAAUUAGUUUACUUACCUCUAGGUAUAAAACCUAUUAGGUGCAAGUGGAUUUUCAAAAAGAAAUUAAAAGUUGAUGGAUAUAUUGAUAAAUAUAAAGCAAGAUUGAUGGCCAAAGGAUUCACAUAGAAGAAAUAUAUAGAUUAUUUUGACACCUAUGCUCUUGUAACUCGGAUUGCAUCUAUUAGAGUUUUGAUUGCUCUUACAGUAAUUCAUAAUCUACAUGUGCGUCAAAUGAAUGUUAAAACUGCCUUUCUCAAUGCAAACUUAGAUGAGGAGUUUCUAUAUGGAUCAACCUGAAGGUUGUAUAGUUCUAGGUUCUAGCAUAAGGUGUGCAAGUUGGUUAAGCCUCUAUAUGGCUUAAAAUAAGCACAGAAACAGUGGCAUGAGAAAUUUGAUCAAGUAUUGUUGUCCAAUGGAUAUACAAUUAAUGAUUUAGACAAAUGUAACUGUUCUAAAUCCAUUAACACUAAUGUUUUUCUCAUCAUAUGUCUCUAUGUUGAUGACAUGUUUAUUUUAAGUUCCAAUGUUGGAACUAUUAAUGAGAUUAAGGAGAUGCUUGAAUGUAAUUUUGAUAUGAAAGAUAUGAUAGGGGCAAAUGUUAUUUUAGGCAUCAAAAUUAUAAAGGUUUGUGAUGGUCUCAUGUUAUCGCAAGAUCAUUAUGUUAAAAAAUUGUUAAUGAGAUUUACGUAUUAUGAUUGCAAAACAAUGUCCCUUCCGCGUAUAAUGAUAAUACCCACAUAAAGAAGAAUACCGAACAUAGUGUUGAUCAAGUGAGGUAUGCCCAAAUAAUUGGUAGCCUAAUGUACUUAAUGAAUUGUGCAAGACCUAACGAUAAUCACUUGACUGCAGUAGCCAGAAUGGCUAGAUAUUUAAGAGGAACCAUUGAUUAUAGGCUUAAAUAUGGUAGAUCUCCAUAAGUACUUAAAGUGUAUAGUGAUGCAAAUUGGAUAUCUGAUCAAAUAAGCUCAAAUCCACUAGGUUAUGUUUUCAUCCUUGAUAAAGGUGUAGCAUCUUAGAAAUCAUCCAAGCAAACCUGUAUAGCUCGUUCUACCAUGGAGUUCAAGCUAAUUGCUUUAGAAAAAGCAUGUUUUGAGGCUAAGUGGUUGCAAAACCUCUUGGCAAAUCUUCCCAUGUUUGCUCACUAUCCUACUACUAUGCCAAUCCAUUGUGAUUGUCAAGUUGCUAUUGUAAGAGAUAGAAUAAAAUAUAUAAUAAAAAGAGUAUAGACAUUAUGAGACAUAGUAUCGUUAAACAGCUACUGGAAUCAGAUGUUAUGAGCCUAAAUUUUAUAAGGUCAAAGUUGAAUUUGGCCGAUCCUCUAACAAAAACACUAAACAAGAGUUUAGUAGAGAUCACAUCAAGGGAGAUGGGACUACUGUCUAGAUCAAAAGACAAGAGUGAUGGUAACCCUACCUAUGUGAUUGGAGAUCCCAUGAAGAACAUUCAAUAAGUUACUUGUUGUUUUGUAACACUAUCAAUAUUAUGUAAUCUUAUUUUUAUUCAAUAAAGAUUUUCUUUAUUUAUAGGUCCUCCCAAUAACAAGAUAAUGUCUAUCGCAAUGAUUUAGGUAAAACAAUUGAGCUUUUAAUGAACUCCAUAACUCACUUUUUAUGUAUGAUUGUGUGUCAAAACUGCAUGACAUACUUGAUGGAGGUUCACCUAUGUUAGUGUGGAAUUAGAUAAGUUCCUAUGAGAGUUAAACAUGCUUCUCUAGAGCGCUCAUGAAUACAAGGGAACAGGGCCACUAAAAUGUCAAACCGUAGAACAACAAAACAUUGAGAGAGUUUAAUGUGAGCUUCUAUUCCUCUGCCUUACAAAAAAAGAAUAUUGGUUUAUAGAAAUUAUCAGUUUCACCAAGUUCCUAUGACACAUGGUUAGUUAUUCAAUGGCCAAUUCAUAGCCCAAAAGGCACCAGUUCAUAUGCAUUAAACUCUAUGGACAAUGAUGAAGUCGAAAGAAAGUGAGUAUUUUAAAAUAUGUGGAGGAUUGUUAAAGAUUGAGUCGGUAUUUUAAAAUACCAAUAUUCCACAUUGCUUAGACAAGAGAGUAUAAGUUGGUUUUUAUAUAGAUACCAAAUAUAGUGUAGUAACAAGCCUAUGAAGAGGAGGCCCAUAUGCAUGAAACCAAGCAUGAGAGAGGAGCUCAUUCCAUGACUCUAUUAAUUGGUUGCUCGUACCCAAUAACUCACUCGCAAUGGGGACCCUCCUUCCCCCCAUGGGGUGCCGUGUAUAUGUGUGGGCUUGGCCAUUUAUUAUGUUUUUGUCCUUUGUUUUAAUUUUAUUUAUUUUAAUUUGAAUUAAAUUGAGAAUUCAAUUCCUAAUCGAAUUAGGAUUUAAUAAAUAUAAUUAUAAUUCGAAUUUAGAGAGAAAAAAGGGGUUAGAGCUUGUAUCUAUUUAAAGAGCCAAAUAUAUCACACUAUGGUCAUCCGAAAACUUACUCUCUUGCUCUCUUCAUCCGAAAACUUACUCUCUUGCUCUCUGUUCUUCGUUGCUCUAUGUUUUCCUUUCUUUCGUCAUUGUACGUUUUGCUAUUCUAAACUAUUAAGUUGAAGUGCAACAUCACAAUCGUAAUAGCAAUUGUAUCAUAGAGAUCAAACUACUUUUGUUAGCCCUUCUUGCACCGAGAUAUUGCAUCUUGAGAUAUAUUAAGGACAGUGCUAUCGUCCGCCUUAAAUGUUUGUUGUUUCCGUCCAAAUUUCAUUGUUUUUCAUCCUAAAAUUCCGACUGCUAGACCAGUAUAACUACUGGGGAUAGAGCCUGGGUACCUUGUAGAAUAUCAUUUGAACGUGUAAGAUAUGCACACAAAAUGCAAAUUAAUACGACCAAAAUUUAUCAACUAUAGUAAAGCAUAUUUCAACUCAAUUUCAUUCGUACUUACAAUUUUGAGGUGAUUCAAUCCAUCAUAAUAGGGCUUAUUAUUGCCAAAAACUUGCAAAACCUCUUUUCUUGCACGUUCUUGCCAAUCUUGAUGCUUGCUCAAUAGCAACCUUGUCCAAUUAAGCAAAACACAGGUAGUCUCUUGGCGAGCAAAGUAAAAUAGCUUGCACUUUUCGAUCACAUCGUUGAAGCUUAUUCCAACAUUUUUGUUGUUUCCAUGUUCUUCAAUUUCUCUAAAAUUGGUCUCCAUCAGUAUGCCAAGUCAUCAUUUCCAGCUUCCUCUGCUUUCUUUGCUUUCUCUCUGUUUUUUAUGAUUCCCAUCAGUGAAGCUCGUAUUUGCUUUCUGAUGGUACCAGCCAGCCUAUAAGAAAUAGGAACAAUAGAAAAUACAAGAACGUAUUGAAUGCACUAAUCAAAUCCUACUUAUCGAUUUCAACAAUAUGAUUAACAUCUUAGAUUAACCAUAUGACGACAUGGAUCGAAGUUAUAAGCCCAGGAUGGGUCAAACCUACUUCCAUAUUUUUGGAAGAAAAUCAACUCCUACAUUGCUAAUUACUCCCAGAAGCCGUCCUCAGAAUCACAUCACUAGUUAAUUUUGCAAGAGAAGGCCGUGCACCCAACUCACACGAUCCUCCUUUAGACGUCAGGUUUUCCCACUUUGUAAUUAUUUCACUACAACUUUGGUAGAACGCAGGCAACAUAAGUUGAAACGAAACAGAAAGAAAUUAAAAUGAAGACAUUUAUGUAAACAAAUGAAGAAAUCAAUUAAUAACCUAGAGCUUCUCUUGGUGGAACUGGUUGAUAAGAUUUCUAUAGUAACCCACUUGUCACCUCAUGGCUAACCAAUGCAAGUGCCAAUAAUCUGGCAAGUGGAUCUGAAUUGAUUUUUUGAAAAUCAUUGAUCUUGGUAGAUAUCUCUUUGAUUUGAUCGGGCUUCACAAUAUUCAACCUUCGCGUCGGACCGAACCACAUAAAUGAAUUAUUGCCUGCAUCAAUUUUUAAGCUCUGGUUAUUUUGCUCGUGGCAUAACUUACCACAGCUUGAGUUACACCCAUUGGCCCAUGAUAUCAAGAAAAUUAUUGGUCUCGCAAACAACAUAGCUCAAAUGUUUCAACACCAUACAUAUUUUCUUCAUUAAUUAAAAAAAAUUACGUUUUAACCCAUAAAAAUAUUCAAGAAUUAUCUUGAUGUGUAUGAUCUCUACUAACUACAUUUAUAACGAGAAGUCUAUUUGGAUUUCUUCCACUUAUAUCAGCUCUACAAUUGUGCAAACUGAAUUAGUUUUAUUAAUAAUGGCACAAUCCAGUCGAGAUAUUAUCGUCUAAACUUUCUUUCAAGUCACCAAACAGAAGCCUGCAAGAAUUGCCUUUGAAACCUUUGCUGUCUCAGGAAUUUCUCCGGCUUCUUGGGACCCUCAGCCACACCCAGUUCAGCACUCUCCAUGCCCAGUUCCCACUGUUACGAUAACAAUGGUCAGGUCUAUGGAUUUCAGCGGCAAUUCCAUUUCACACAGAGAGAUUUUUGAAGUGUUCAAAGAAAUGAGACUUGCCUACGUGGUAGAUUAGUUGAAAGUGAAUUAAAAACAUUUUUUCGUUUGCAUAUGUUCAAUGGCUUUUCUUAGUUUCGAAUUUUCCUGUACCAUUAUAUUGUCUCCAGCUAAUGGUACACGUGUCAAUAUCAAUCAUGCAUGUGGUGAUCUUUGUGGACUUGUCACUCAUUGACUGUCUUCUAUAGAACUAGAGAAUGUAAGUUCGGUUAAUUAUUUGAAAAAAAAAAUUGUUUACCCCUAAUACAUUAAUUAUUCUCAAAAUAUCCUCAAACUAUAAUAAACAUUAAUCAAUCCACAAUUACUAUUAAGAAGGUAAAAAAAGAAAAAAGAAAUCAUCAAUCGUUCCCAUUUGAUCUUAUUUUUUGAAUGAUCAUUAGGGUAAAUUAAGGUUUACAAGAAUUUAGAGAUAACUGAAAUUAACAAAAAAUAAAUAAAAUAAAACUCAUCUAAAUAAAUUAUGCAUGGUGGGCCUAUUUGCCCUUUAAAACAUACUCAAAAUAUACUAUUAUUUAUGUAUACUCAUUUACUUAUUUUAUAAAAAGGGUGGGGCUAUUUGCACUCUUAACAUUACUAGAAUAUUCUUAUUUUAAUAAAUUGUUUUAUUACAAAAAUACCUAUUAUAUGAAUUUCCAAUAUGGAAUCUCUCUUAUAAACUAACAUAAUAAAAUUACUCCAAACACUCACUAUUCAAUAUAUGAUUAUCUUACCAUAAACCCGAAAAAUUUUAAAUCCAAUAUCUUAAACAAUAUUUAGUUAAACAAAGAGCAAAUCAAUACUUUUAAUAUAUUUUGAGCAUAUUUUUACUCUUUGAUUUUCAGAAGACAAAAAAAAAAUUGCUGUCUUCUUCCUCUUCCUCAUCCUUCUUUUAGUCUUCUUUUUCUUCGGCUAUUUCUUCUUCCUCUUUUUUUCCUUUUUUUUCUUUCUUUUUUUUUUUUUUUUGGCUAGAUAGCAAAAAAAUUUUCAAUUGUUUGGUUAAUAAAUUGGGUGCAAAAACUAAUAUUGAAUACAUUCUUUAAUAGACAAAAGCUAAUAAAGAAUAUGUUUAGAAUAUAAUUUGAUUCCUUUGUGUAUAUACUAAGUUGUUAUUAAUUCAUUUUGGAUGCUCAAUAGUUUAAUUGGUGUUUUGAGUAAAUUAGUUUAACUAGUUUAAUUAAGGUCCUUUUUUUUUAUUUUAAAGAGUGUAGAAAGUAAAAUUUAAUUAUUUUAAAUUCAACACAUUAUUGUACAAAGUAAUAAAGUGUUCAAAGUAAUUUUUGGAGUAUAAAUAACCUAAUCUUUUGAAAAAUGGUGGGACUAUUUGAAUCCACCAUAAUACUCAUUUGACCCAUGUUUUAGAAAACAUUUUUACUACUAAAUUGUCUCUAAUGUAAAUCACUAUUAAAGACAUAAUAGUAUGUAUAUACUUCAUGCUCUCAUCUUUUAAUCAUGUCUAAAUUUGUUCAAUGUGGACAUAAGAGAAAAUUUGUUUCAUACUUUUAAAUUUUUUUAAAAAUUUUCUUCAACUCCUUUGGUCGAAAACAAAUCCAAUCGAGUUGUUGGAUACUUGGAUUUGGUCAAAACUAUCUCACCAGUAAAGCUCAUUGGAAUCCAAUAAACCAAUAAGUUCUAGUCAAGCUAUUCUAGAUUCAAGCAAUAAAAUUUAGGAAAAUUAUCAGUCGUAUACUCUUAAAUGACAUCCGUAUCAAACGUGUGUGAACACUUUUGAAAUGUAUCACUCGUUUACCCUAAGUUGACAAAACACUUCUGCCGUCCGCCAAUCCGUUAACUUCCGUUUGCAAGCGCGAACAUCAUAAGGGCAAUUUAGUCUUUUAAGAUUGACGAAACUUUGAUUUAAAAAAAGGACAUGUCAUCCCAUUUACCUAGUACAAAAUGACAUGUCAUAUGAUAUAUAUUGAUAAAAAUAACAUGUCAUCCCAUUUAUCGGAUAAUUGUAAAUAAUUGCUAAAAAAAACUACUUUACAACCGAAUAUACGCCUUUAAAAUUUAACCUAAUUUUGAAGAUCUACUCCUCCAAGCUCCAACUGGAAAGUUUUAUGGUAUAAUAUGUAUAAUUGUGAAUAAUAUGUUGUUAAUAAUUUUUUAUGGUAUAAUAUGGAUUUUUUUUAUGAAUAAUUGUUAAUAAUAUGUACCAUUAAUAAUUCAUUUUUUUUAAUCAAAAAAAUGUAUUGUUAAUAACAAAAUAAAAAAAAUUGUGUAUUAAAAAUUUACGUUAAUUUUUGGGGUAAAUUUAUCUUUUUACCUUAUAUUUUGAGUUUCAAGGGCAAAAUAGCCAAUUUGUCACAAUUCUGUUAACUUUCUAAUGGAAGUUAACGGAUUGGUGGAUGGCAGAAGUGUUUUGUCAACUUAGGAUAUACGAGUAAUACACUUGAAAAGUGUUCUCAACUUAGGGUAUACGAGUAAUACACUUGAAAAGUGUUCACACACGUUUGAUACGGGUGUCAUUUAAGGGUAUAUGGCUGAUAAUUUCCCUAAAAUUUAUUUCAUUAAAUUUGCACUAUAUAAGAAAGGGAAGAGUUAUGCCAUUGACAAAUAUUGAGCGCUUGAAUUAGUUGUGUAAUCAAUUGAUUAUUCAUUACAACUAUCAUCUUAUUGUCAUUUAAUUUUUUCAUGAUAUUAUAUAUAUUUCAUAGCAGUUUAAUGACAAGCACGGACCAAAAAUAAAUUCCACUUGAGAAGUUGAAGGAUACGACCUUUGGUUAUGAAUGCGUCAAGGGUUGGAGAGAUGGAAGAAGAAGAAGAGAAGAAAAAUGUUGCAGAAAACCAUGAAUUAAUUUCAAGGAUAUGUUGGUUAUUAACAUGGGUUUAUAAAGUAUAAUAUAAAAUUUUUAACAAUAGAAUUAAUAAGUACAUGAGUUUACAAAGUAAUUUGGUGGGUUCAAAUAUACUCACUCUUUAAAAUAAUUAAUUUUUACUCUGCACACUCUUUUUUUUUUUUUUUUUUUUAUGAGAAAGUAAAGCUUUCAAUUGAUAAAGAAGAAGAGAACAACAUCAACACCUGGACAGGGAAAUCACCUAUCCAGGUGACAGCUUCCUCAAACUCAAGAGCUACAUUAGCUAAGUUAUGGGCUAUUACAUUAGACUUUCUUGGGACAAAACGAAUAGCUGCCGAGGCCUGGUUUUUCAACUCUGCUUGUAUUUCUUCAAUGUUCCAACAAAUUUCAGCCAAACUUUCCUUCUUGUUUAAAGUGAGCUCCACAACUUCCUUCAAGUCUGAUUCAACAAUGAAUUGGGCACAAUUUGUUUUCUGAGCUACUUGAAUACCGAGCAGCACUGCUUCUGCCUCCAUGUUUGCCACAUUUCCUUUUAAAGCUACUCUCUUAACAGCUGCAACCACAAUCUCAUCAAAUACUAAAAAAGCUACUCUCUUAACUCUGCACACUCUUUAAAAUACUAAAAAAGUCCUCAAUAAAACCUUUAAGUAAAUCAAUUAAGAAUUUCAAGCUAAAAUAAAUCUAUACAUGUAAUCACAAUUUAUUAAAAAUGGUAGUAAAACUUUUAUAUUUGAAGUCAAGUACUUAAUUACCAAGCUUAAAUAAAUUAAACAAUUAAAAUUUAUUCAUCUUUUUAAAUUUUAAAAUAUUAUUAGUCAAAAAUUUCAAUAAUAAACUAAACUCAACUUAACAUAAAUUUAUUUGGGUGUCAUUGUUUCUUUGUCAUACACUCUACCUUUUUUUUAAAGAACCUACUGUUGAUAGUUUUUCUAUCAAAAACUCCUCAAAAUAUUUAAAUUUUAUCUUCUAACUUGUCCUCUUGGUUAAUGUAACUAAUAACUAAAAUCUCAAAAUUCACAUAAAAGUUUAUGAAAUGUUGAUAGAUAGUUGUUACUAUAUAUCUUUUUUUGUAAGUAUUGGCAUUUUUUCAAUUAAAUUAUUUUUAUAAAUAAAUUAAAACAGUAAUAAUAUUUUAGUCCCCAAAUCUUUUCAAUCUAUUCAAUAAAUAUAUAAUUUAAUUAUUUCAUGAAAUAAGUCACUAAUUCCAACUGGGAAGAAAAUAUAAUUGAAUUAGGAACAUGUUUGAAAAUAAAAUAAAAACUCUAUUAUUUUAUAAAACUGAUUUAAAAAAAACAUAAGGGUAGUUAAAUUAGGGACAUAUAUAAAAAAAAUAAAACUAUAUUAUUAUCUAAAAUUAAUAAAAAAAAUAAGGGGUAUAAAUAACUUUCCUGGACUAAUCCGGGCUACCCCCGCUUAGGUCCGCUUCGCACUCAUUAUUCCAAAUACAACGUUUAAAAUUUAAAAUCAAAUUUUUACUAUGUAAAAUAUAUAAAUCUAAAAAAUAGUCUUGAAUUUUUUUUUUUUGGGCUCCUGUUUUAUUAUUCUUUUUCGAAAGUAAUUUUCUUUCUUCUUAUUAAAGGCUUGAGAUAAAUUAUAUAUCCCUUUUCUUUUAUUGAAUCAUAAUUCUUCGUUUCUUUUAUUGAAUCAUAGUUCUUGUGAUUUUGAUUUUUCGUAUGUAUUGCCUACAAUUUAUCAUUGAGGUAUCAGUUACAUAAAUAUAAUUUUCCAUUAAUCUUAUUUCGAAGAUGUUAAUGAAAUAUAUUUGGUGAAAACGAUAUUAGAGUGAGGAUACGUGCACCCAUGACAAAAAUUUGCAAAGAAGUCUUCAAUCUUUCAAAUUUUCCAAUUGAUAAAGAAUUGAUUUAAAAAGAAGAAGAUGAUGAUGAUGGUGAUUUAAGAUUUUAUAAUACAUGGGUGUGUCAAGGAUAUUUGUUUCAAGUUAAAAUUAUUCAAUCCUUAAUACUAAUUUCAUAAAAGGACAUUUUUAUAAUAUAAAAUUUUAUUAAAUAAAGAGGAUUAAAAAUAACUUUUAGAAUAUAUAAAUAAAUAGCCUCACGCGAUUAUAAAGUACAAGGUCACUCGAUGAUGUCAUGAAUUUAUGUAAUCAAAUAUGAAUUAUGUAAAUGAAACAUAAGACUUAUAAAUUUAAUAUAAAACAUGUAAAUCAAUAUUAACUGUGAAAUAACAUAUAAAUUAUGUAAAUAAAAUAUUAGACUUGUAAGUAGAAGGUAAAACAAACAAAUUAAUAUAGGAGUGAUAAAUUGGUAUAUUAUUGAUAAACAAAAGAAAAACUUACAAAUGUAAUAUAUAAUUUAUAAAUCAAUAUUAAGUGUGAAAUAAAAUAUAAAUUGCGUAAAUGAAACAUAAGACAAGUAAAUAAAAGAUAAAAUAAGUAAAUUAAUAUAAGAUUGGUACAUUAAUGUAUUGGUAAUAAACAAAAUAAAAAUUUAAAGAUAUAAUAUAAAACUAUAAAUCAAUAUUAAGUACAAAAUAAAACAUAAGUUUAAGUGUGAUUUACAAAAUUAAUAUAAGAGUUAUUAAAAAAAAUACAAAUGUAAAAUAAAAACUCAUUAUAAUAUUGAUUACCUUAUAUAUUUAUUGAUUCUAUUUUAAAUUGAAUAAUGAUAGUUUUGGUCUUAUGUAAUAAAUGUGAUGUUUUAUAUAAAUUUAUUCUCAAAAUUAGGUUUUGAAAUCUAUUCUUUUAAUGUUUUUCGAAUUUAUUGUAAGAUGACAUGAUUUUUCAUCCUUCUAAAUCUCCUCAUCAGCAAUGCAAAUAGUUUCUAAAUACAAGUAAGGGGGGACGGUUAAAAUUACAAGAAGUAUAUGUAAAACUCAAAAUUAGAUCUAAUUUUAUUGAAAUGUCAUAUAUGUGUUUAGUAAUAUAAGAAUAUGUUUUUAUUUUAUUUUUUUUGUUUAAUCCACAUUAAGAUAAAUUAUUUUGCUUAGUUAACUUGUGUAGUAAAAAAAAAAAAAAAAAACAAUGACAGAAAAUGAAAAAAAAAGUUUAUAAAUAUCUUAAGACAAAUAUAGAAUUUAUUCUUAAACCAAUUUAGUAAAACUUAUUCUACUUGUUUUCAGUAUAAUUUUUUUGGUCUUAGAUUGAUGACUAUUUUUUUUUUUUCAUUGUUUAACUAAAGUAAAUGAAUAAAUUAUUUUUUUUCACUAAAAUUAUGUAGAAAUCAUGUUAUAUGUUUUAAUAAUUAACUGGUUUAUAUUAAUUUACAUGUUUUAUCUUCCAAUCACUUAUCUUAUGUAUAAUUUUAUAAAAUAUAUUUUUUACCACAGCAUUAAUGCUGUAAUUCUAAUCAUGGCAUUAUAAAAUUUUCCAAUGUGGGGAAACAUCUUUACUCUAAAUAAAACUAGAGUUGUGUUGAGCUCAAUUUAAAUAUCUAAACAGCUCUUGUCUAAGCUUUGAAUCUCAAUACAAAUUUAAAUACAUUAAACUUCAUUAUAAAAGAGUCUACAUUGGCAUCAUGCUAAUCUUAUUGACAAUAUAUAGUUGCCGGUAUUAAUUAUUUUUGCACCAUAGCUUCCGUAGAAUCAAUUGGGUACCCAGUUCCGGAUGAAGGGUUGGAACCGCCGUUGGAGCAUGGACAUAGGAUGGAGACAACUCGAAUGAGUAGUUUUGAAGAAUCAUUGCCGUGGCCAUUUUUGCUUCUACUAGAGCAAAAUUUUGUCCAACACAUAUCCUAGGACCCGAUGCGAAUGGGAAAUAUGAAACUUGAUUUUUUGCCGCCUUUGAAAUUCCUUCCGCAAACCUUUCCGGCUUAAACUCAACUGCAUCGUCACCCCAAAGUUCAGGAUCCUGGUGAACUAGGAUCAUUGGCAAGCCAAUUUGAACCCCAGCGGGUAAUGUCAAGUUUCCGAGUUUCGUUUCCUUAAGAACAGCUCGACUAAGCGCAGUUAAGGGCGGAUAAAGCCUGAGUACCUCGUAAAGUAUCAUCUGGACCUGUCACAUACAUACAAACACAACUGAGAUUAAUAUGAUCAAAUUGAUCAAUAUCGAAUACUAUUUCCUUCGUACUUACAAUUUUGAGGUGGUUCAAUUCACCAUAGUCGGGCUUAUUAUUGCCAAACACUUGCAAAACCUCUUGCCUUGCACGUUCUUGCCAAUCUUGAUGCUUGCUCAAUAAGACCAUUGUCCAAUUAAGCAAAACAGAGGUAGUCUCUUGGCCGGCAAGGUAAAAUAGCUUACACUCUUCGAUCACAUCGUUCAUGCUGAACCCAACAUUUUUGUUAUUUCCAUGUUCUUCAAUCUCUCUAAAACUGGUUUCCAUCAGUAUGCCUAACAAGUCAUCAUUCGCAGCUUCCCCUGCUCUCAUUGCCUUCUCCCUAUUUUUGAUGAUUCCCAUCAAUGAAGCCCGGAUUUCCUUGUCAAUUUCUUUCAUUCUCCUAUUUCUCUUUGUAGGUAAAAACCUAUAUAUAAGCAAUGAAACAACUUUAAAGACAAGAACUAAACAAACUAAUCAAACCCUUAAUUUUUUUUUUUUACCCUCUUUUUACCAAUCAGAAAUCUGCUGGAGCCUCUUAGAAUAACUCUAUGAUUAGCUCAAUCAAGAUAUCUGAGCCGAAAUCAGCUAGGUCUACUUCUAAUAUUUUGCGCGAAAGAAAAUAACUCCCACAAAGCUAAUCAAAGCCUACUCAUAAAUAAUCCUAUAUGACAUGUAUAUAUGAAUGUUUCCAGUGAAGAGAAAUGUGAAUAUACCUCCAUCCUGGAAUGUGAACUGAACGAAAGACUUGCAUUGUGAGUUCAGCUAGCUCUGCCUGGAGCUGAAAAAUCCUUCUUCCUUCUUCAUAACUACUCCCAAAAGCCGUUCGAGAAAUCACAUCACUUGUUAAAUUUGCAAGAUAAGGCCAUACAUCCAACUCAGAUGAUCCUUCUACAGACAUUUGCUUCUCCCACUUUGUAAUUAUUUCGGUACAACUCAAGUAGAAUGCUGGCAACAUAAGCUGUAACAAAAGCAAGAAAUCUAAAUGAGGGCAAAAUCGAAUCUUCCAAAGAUAUGUAAACAAAUGGAGAAGUUAAUUAAUAAACCUUGAGCUUCUCUUGGUGGAAGGCUGGGUUGAUGAGUUUUCUAUGUUUAGCCCACUUCUCCCCCUCAAGGCUAGCCAAUCCAACUAUCAGCAGCCUGGCAAGUGGGAUUGAAUUGACUUUUUGAAAAUCAUUGAUCUUGGUAAAUAUCGCUUUUAUUUGAUCAGGAUUCAUAAUAUUCACCCUUGGUGUCGGACCAAACCACAUGAAAGAAUUCUUACCUGCAGAAAUUUUUUACCAAUAUACGCACAUGUUACUUGUUAGAGGCAGAUGGUACAUUGAAAAUGGUAGUAUACCUAAGCUGUGAAAAAUUAGUGAUUUUAUUCACAAAUCAGUCAAAGAAUAACCAUUCAUACUAAUUGAUUUUACCUCAAGCAGAAAAGAUCUAACAAGCAACUUUGCCCAUUAUAAGGUAAACAAUUAGAAACAUGGCACGAUUUAUAAGAUAAUGUAAAAGCCUAACGGCGUUGAAACAGUGAAUUAAUCAGACAACACUCAGCAAAAGGAACAACGCUGCCCUCUGGGAAUUUUACAUGUGGCAUAGCCCAUCCACAGGUUGAAUUACACCCACGCACCUAUCUCAUCAAUACAUUAGUGGUUCUAGCCACUCAGUCAAGGCUGAGUGGUAAAGUAUCACCACUUAAUUAAAAAAAAAAAAAAAAGGAAAAAAAAGAGAGAGAAGUUUAGCCGCAACGUCGAUUUUUUUCUCUGAUCAAAGAAGCGUAAAAUUAUGUUUUAACCCACCAAAAUUUUCAAGAAUUAUCUUUACGUGAACCAUCUCUACUGAAUCAGAAGUCUAAUCAAAUUUCUUUCGUCGGAGAGGAUUAAUUCUUUAAGCAGUGGCACAGUCCAGAUAUUUGAGUCAUUUGAGACCAGAACAGAACGUAUCUACUUUUGAACGAGUAAAAUUAAAAGAGUACACGCCGGGAUUGACAUACAUACCAUAAUCAUUUACCAGUUUAUGAAGGAAUGGAUUGACACGAAUAGCAAUAUUGUCAUCCAAACUGAGGGGUCUGGCUUUGGCUUCCUUCAGCUCGAUGGAAUUUUCUUUCAAGUCACCAAACAGAAGCCUGUAAGAAUUGCCUUUUAAACCUUGCUGUCUCAGGAAUUUCUCCAGCUUCUUGGGCCUCAGCCACACCCAGUUCAGCACUCUCCAUGCCCAUGUUAGCACCGUUAGAAUAACAAUGGUAACAGCUAUGGAUUUCAGAGGCAACUCCAUUUCACACUGACAGAUUUUGCGGGUUUAAAUUUGCAGAGACGAACGAGAAUGAUAUAUAUAGUCAUCAAGCGAAUGAGAAAAUCGUUUUCCUUUGCAUGUGUUUUUGAUUAGGUGUUUUCUGGAUCGAUACGUGUCAAGCUUGCAUGUGACUGUGAACUGUGGACCCUGUUCUAGAACUAGACUGUUUGGGAUCGAUUAAUUUUAAAAAAUAAACUAAAAUUCAUAUGGUAAGAAUUUUUAAGUAUAAAUGUUUGUAAAAUAAAAUCUAAACCUACAUUUGAAUGGCAAGCAUCUAGAAACAAGAUCUGUAUUCUGUCAUAUGACGCCAGGAAAUAUACUGCCUUUUCGUAAAUGCAUAAUCAAGCAGCAUGAUGUGCUCUGCUUUCACACGAAUGUAGGUCCACUUUGUCUUGGCUUUUACGGAAUUUCAAUUCUAUUGUUAUGGGGAUUAAUGGCUCUGCUUAAUUUUGGGGUCUGCUUUCAGAGAAAUACAAAACGAUUAGAACUCUGCUUUGUGAUACAGACAAGACGCAAUGGAUCUAUCAUCUUCAUCUCUACUCCUAUUUCAUUUAUCUUUAUCAUGAAUAUAAUCCACGAUUCUCAAACAUGAUAAACAAGGUCACAAACUAUGGUGUACCAAUCGGCUGUUUUUUUUUUAACUUAAUUAAUUUAAUUUAAAUCAUUGAGUCCAUUUAUUUUUUCAACUUAAUGAAAAUUUUCAAUCACUAAAUCAUUCAGUUACCAAGCUAAUUUUUAAAUUUUUUGUUUAAUCUAAAAAGUCUAAAUAAUAACAUUAAAAGAUUUUCUCUAAAAUAUCUCUAUCUAAUUAAUUAAUUUUUACCCUUACCUAAAUAAAUUUUAAUAAUUGAUGUUAUUACCUACCUCUAUAACUUGUGAUAAUAUAGUGCACUAGUAGACUACUAUUAUUUUUUAUUUUUUAUUUUCUUCAAAUUAAAAUUAUUUAUCUUCAUAAUUUUUCAUAAUUAUUUUUCAUAUAAAAACAUCAUAAACUAUAGUAAAAUUGAUUAAUAUAUACUAAUUUAAAAUAUUAAAAAGAGUAUAGACAUUAUGAGACAGUAUCAUUAAGCAGCUACUGGAAUAAGAUGUUAUGAGCCUAAAUUUUAUAAGGUCAAAGUUGAAUUUGGCCGAUCCUUUAACAAAAAAAACUAAACAAGAGUUUAGUAGAGAUCACAUCAAGGGAGAUGGGACUAGUGGCUAGAUCAUAAGACAAGAGUGAUGGUAACCCUACCUAUGUGAUUGGAGAUCCAUGAAAAAUGUUCAAUAAGUUACUUGUUGUUUUGGAAUGCUCUCAAUAUUAUGUAAUCUUAUUUUUAUUCAAUAAAGAUUUUCUUUAUUUAUAAGUCCUCCUUAUAAUAAGAUAAUGUUUAUCGCAGUGAGUUAGGUUAAGCAAUUGAGCUUUUCAUGAACUCCAUAACUCAAUUUUUAUGUAUGAUGGUGUGUUAAAACUGCAUGACAUACUUGAUGGAGGUUCACCUAUGUUAGUGUGGAAUUGGAUAAGUUCCUAUGAGAGUUAAACAUGCUUCUCUAGAGCGCUCAUGAAUACAAGGGCACAGGGCUACUAAAGUGCCAAACCGCAGAACAACAAAAUAUUGAGAGAGUUUAAUGUGAGCUUCUAGUCAUCUGCCUUACAAAAAAAAGAAUAUUGGUUUAUAGAAAUUAUCAGUUUCACCAAGUUCCUAUGACACAUGGUUAGUUAUUCAAUGGCCAGUUCAUAGCCCCAAAGGCACCAGUUCAUAUGCAUUAAACUCUAUGGACAAUGAUGAAGUCGAAAGAAAUUGAGUAUUUUGAAAUAUGUGGAGGAUUGUUAAAGAUUGAGUUGGUAUUUUAAAAUACCAAUAUUCCACAUUACUUAAACAAAAGAGUACAAGUUGGUUUUUAUAUAGAAAACAAAUAUAGUGUAGUAACAAGCCUAUGAAGAGGAGGCUCAUAUGCAUGAAACCAAGCGCGAGAGAGGAGUUCAUUCCAUGACUCUAUUAAUUGGUUGCUCGUACCCAAUAACUCACUCGCAAUGGGGACCCUCCUUCCCCCCAUGGGGUGUCAUGUAUGAGUGUGGGCUUGGCCAUCUAUUAUGUUUUGUCCUUUGUUUUAAUUUUAUUUAUUUUAAUUCGAAUUAGAUUGAGAAUUCAAUUCCUAAUGGAAUUAGGAUUUAAUAAACAUAAUUAUAAUUCAGAUUUAGAGAGGAAAAGGGGGUUAGGGCUUGUAUCUAUUUAAAGAGCCGAAUAUAUCACACUAUGGUCAUCCAAAAACUUACUCUCUUGCUCUCUGUUCUUUGUUGCUCUUUGUUUUCCUUUCUUUCGUCAUUGUACGUUUUGCUAUUCUGAACUAUCAAGUUGAAGUGCAACAUCACAAUCGUAAUAGUAAUUGUAUCAUGGAGAUCAAACUACUUUUGUUAGCCCUUCUUGCACCGAAAUACUGCAUCUUGAGAUCAAGCUUAUUCCAACAUUUUUGUUGUUUCCAUGUUCUUCAAUUUCUCUAAACUUGGUCUCCAUCAGUAUGCCAAGUCAUCAUUUCCAGCUUCCUCUGCUUUCAUUGCCUUCUCUCUGUUUUUAAUUAUUCCCAUCAGUGAAGCUCGUAUUUGCUUGUCAAUUUCCUUCAUUCUCUUAUUUCUUUCUGAAGGUACCAGCCAGCCUAUAAGAAAUAGGAACAAUAGAAAAUACAAGAACGUAUUGAAUGCACUAAUCAAAUCCUACUUAUCGAUUUCAACAAUAUGAUUAACAUCUUAGAUUAACCAUAUGACGACAUGGAUCGAAGUUAUAAGCCCAGGAUGGGUCAAACCUACUUCCAUAUUUUUGGAAGAAAAUCAACUCCUACAUUGCUAAUUACUCCCAGAAGCCGUCCUCAGAAUCACAUCACUAGUUAAUUUUGCAAGAGAAGGCCGUGCACCCAACUCACACGAUCCUCCUUUUGACGUCAGGUUUUCCCACUUUGUAAUUAUUUCACUACAACUUUGCUAGAACGCAGGCAACAUAAGUUGAAACGAAACAGAAAGAAAUUAAAAUGAAGACAUUUAUGUAAACAAAUGAAGAAAUCAAUUAAUAACCUAGAGCUUCUCUUGGUGGAACUGGUUGAUAAGAUUUCUAUAGUAACCCACUUGUCACCUCAUGGCUAACCAAUGCAAGUGCCAAUAAUCUGGCAAGUGGAUCUGAAUUGAUUUUUUGAAAAUCAUUGAUCUUGGUAGAUAUCUCUUUGAUUUGAUCGGGCUUCACAAUAUUCAACCUUCGCGUCGGACCGAACCACAUAAAUGAAUUAUUGCCUGCAUCAAUUUUUAAGCUCUGGUUAUUUUGCUCGUGGCAUAACUUACCACAGCUUGAGUUACACCCAUUGGCCCAUGAUAUCAAGAAAAUUAUUGGUCUCGCAAACAACAUAGCUCAAAUGUUUCAACACCAUACAUAUUUUCUUCAUUAAUUAAAAAAAAUUACGUUUUAACCCAUAAAAAUAUUCAAGAAUUAUCUUGAUGUGUAUGAUCUCUACUAACUACAUUUAUAACGAGAAGUCUAUUUGGAUUUCUUCCACUUAUAUCAGCUCUACAAUUGUGCAAACUGAAUUAGUUUUAUUAAUAAUGGCACAAUCCAGUCGAGAUAUUAUCGUCUAAACUUUCUUUCAAGUCACCAAACAGAAGCCUGCAAGAAUUGCCUUUGAAACCUUUGCUGUCUCAGGAAUUUCUCCAGCUUCUUGGGACCCUCAGCCACACCCAGUUCAGCACUCUCCAUGCCCAGUUCCCACUGUUACGAUAACAAUGGUCAGGUCUAUGGAUUUCAGCGGCAAUUCCAUUUCACACAGAGAGAUUUUUGAAGUGUUCAAAGAAAUGAGACUUGCCUACGUGGUAGAUUAGUUGAAAGUGAAUUAAAAACAUUUUUUCGUUUGCAUAUGUUCAAUGGCUUUUCUUAGUUUCGAAUUUUCCUGUACCAUUAUAUUGUCUCCAGCUAAUGGUACACGUGUCAAUAUCAAUCAUGCAUGUGGUGAUCUUUGUGGACUUGUCACUCAUUGACUGUCUUCUAUAGAACUAGAGAAUGUAAGUUCGGUUAAUUAUUUGAAAAAAAAAAAUUGUUUACCCCUAAUACAUUAAUUAUUCUCAAAAUAUCCUCAAACUAUAAUAAACAUUAAUCAAUCCACAAUUACUAUUAAGAAGGUAAAAAAAGAAAAAAGAAAUCAUCAAUCGUUCCCAUUUGAUCUUAUUUUUUGAAUGAUCAUUAGGGUAAAUUAAGGUUUACAAGAAUUUAGAGAUAACUGAAAUUAACAAAAAAUAAAUAAAAUAAAACUCAUCUAAAUAAAUUAUGCAUGGUGGGCCUAUUUGCCCUUUAAAACAUACUCAAAAUAUACUAUUAUUUAUGUAUACUCAUUUACUUAUUUUAUAAAAAGGGUGGGGCUAUUUGCACUCUUAACAUUACUAGAAUAUUCUUAUUUUAAUAAAUUGUUUUAUUACAAAAAUACUUAUUAUAUGAAUUUCCAAUAUGGAAUCUCUCUUAUAAACUAACAUAAUAAAAUUACUCCAAACACUCACUAUUCAAUAUAUGAUUAUCUUACCAUAAACCCGAAAAAUUUUAAAUCCAAUAUCUUAAACAAUAUUUAGUUAAACAAAGAGCAAAUCAAUACUUUUAAUAUAUUUUGAGCAUAUUUUUACUCUUUGAUUUUCAGAAGACAAAAAAAAAAUUGCUGUCUUCUUCCUCUUCCUCAUCCUUCUUUUAGUCUUCUUUUUCUUCGGCUAUUUCUUCUUCCUCUUUUUUUCCUUUUUUUUCUUUCUUUUUUUUUUUUUUUUGGCUAGAUAGCAAAAAAAUUUUCAAUUGUUUGGUUAAUAAAUUGGGUGCAAAAACUAAUAUUGAAUACAUUCUUUAAUAGACAAAAGCUAAUAAAGAAUAUGUUUAGAAUAUAAUUUGAUUCCUUUGUGUAUAUACUAAGUUGUUAUUAAUUCAUUUUGGAUGCUCAAUAGUUUAAUUGGUGUUUUGAGUAAAUUAGUUUAACUAGUUUAAUUAAGGUCCUUUUUUUUUUAUUUUAAAGAGUGUAGAAAGUAAAAUUUAAUUAUUUUAAAUUCAACACAUUAUUGUACAAAGUAAUAAAGUGUUCAAAGUAAUUUUUGGAGUAUAAAUAACCUAAUCUUUUGAAAAAUGGUGGGACUAUUUGAAUCCACCAUAAUACUCAUUUGACCCAUGUUUUAGAAAACAUUUUUACUACUAAAUUGUCUCUAAUGUAAAUCACUAUUAAAGACAUAAUAGUAUGUAUAUACUUCAUGCUCUCAUCUUUUAAUCAUGUCUAAAUUUGUUCAAUGUGGACAUAAGAGAAAAUUUGUUUCAUACUUUUAAAUUUUUUUAAAAAUUUUCUUCAACUCCUUUGGUCGAAAACAAAUCCAAUCGAGUUGUUGGAUACUUGGAUUUGGUCAAAACUAUCUCACCAGUAAAGCUCAUUGGAAUCCAAUAAACCAAUAAGUUCUAGUCAAGCUAUUCUAGAUUCAAGCAAUAAAAUUUAGGAAAAUUAUCAGUCGUAUACUCUUAAAUGACAUCCGUAUCAAACGUGUGUGAACACUUUUGAAAUGUAUCACUCGUUUACCCUAAGUUGACAAAACACUUCUGCCGUCCGCCAAUCCGUUAACUUCCGUUUGCAAGCGCGAACAUCAUAAGGGCAAUUUAGUCUUUUAAGAUUGACGAAACUUUGAUUUAAAAAAAGGACAUGUCAUCCCAUUUACCUAGUACAAAAUGACAUGUCAUAUGAUAUAUAUUGAUAAAAAUAACAUGUCAUCCCAUUUAUCGGAUAAUUGUAAAUAAUUGCUAAAAAAAACUACUUUACAACCGAAUAUACGCCUUUAAAAUUUAACCUAAUUUUGAAGAUCUACUCCUCCAAGCUCCAACUGGAAAGUUUUAUGGUAUAAUAUGUAUAAUUGUGAAUAAUAUGUUGUUAAUAAUUUUUUAUGGUAUAAUAUGGAUUUUUUUUAUGAAUAAUUGUUAAUAAUAUGUACCAUUAAUAAUUCAUUUUUUUUAAUCAAAAAAAUGUAUUGUUAAUAACAAAAUAAAAAAAAUUGUGUAUUAAAAAUUUACGUUAAUUUUUGGGGUAAAUUUAUCUUUUUACCUUAUAUUUUGAGUUUCAAGGGCAAAAUAGCCAAUUUGUCACAAUUCUGUUAACUUUCUAAUGGAAGUUAACGGAUUGGUGGAUGGCAGAAGUGUUUUGUCAACUUAGGAUAUACGAGUAAUACACUUGAAAAGUGUUCUCAACUUAGGGUAUACGAGUAAUACACUUGAAAAGUGUUCUCAACUUAGGGUAUACGAGUAAUACACUUGAAAAGUGUUCACACACGUUUGAUACGGGUGUCAUUUAAGGGUAUAUGGCUGAUAAUUUCCCUAAAAUUUAUUUCAUUAAAUUUGCACUAUAUAAGAAAGGGAAGAGUUAUGCCAUUGACAAAUAUUGAGCGCUUGAAUUAGUUGUGUAAUCAAUUGAUUAUUCAUUACAACUAUCAUCUUAUUGUCAUUUAAUUUUUUCAUGAUAUUAUAUAUAUUUUAUAGCAGUUUAAUGACAAGCACGGACAAAAAAUAAAUUCCACUUGAGAAGUUGAAGGAUACGACCUUUGGUUAUGAAUGCGUCAAGGGUUGGAGAGCUGGAAGAAGAAGAAGAGAAGAAAAAUGUUGCAGAAAAUCAUGAAUUAAUUUCAAGCAUAUGUUGGUUAUUAACAUGAGUUUAUAAAGUAUAAUAUAAAAUUUUUAACAAUAGAAUUAAUAAGUAGAUGAGUUUACAAAGUAAUUUGGUGGGUUCAAAUAUACUCACUCUUUAAAAUAAUUAGUUUUUACUCUGCACACUCUUUUUUUUUUUUUAUGAGAAAGUAAAGCUUUCAAUUGAUUAAGAAGAAGAGAACAACAUCAACACCUGGACAGGGAAAUCACCUAUCCAGGUGACAGCUUCCUCAAACUCAAGAGCUACAUUAGCUAAGUUAUGGGCAAUUACAUUACACUUUCUUGGGACAAAACGAAUAGCUGCCGAGGCUUGGUUUUUCAACUCUGCUUGUAUUUCUUCAAUGUUCCAACAAAUUUUAGCUCAACUUUCCUUCUUGUUUAAAGUGAGCUCCACAACUUCCUUCAAGUCUGAUUCAACAAUGAAUUGGGCACAAUUUGUUUUCUGACCUACUUGAAUACCGAGCAGCACUGCUUCUGCCUCCAUGUUUGCCACAUUUCCUUUUAAAGCUACUCUCUUAACAGCUGCAGCCACGAUCUCAUAAAAUACUAAAAAAGCUACUCUCUUAAUUCUGCACACUCUUUAAAAUACUAAAAAAGUCCUCAAUAAAACCUUUAAGUAAAUCAAUUAAGAAUUUCAAGUUAAAAUAAAUCUAUACAUGUAAUCACAAUUUAUUAAAAAUGGUAGUAAAACUUUUAUAUUUGAAGUCAAGUACUUAAUUACCAAACUUAAAUAAAUUAAACAAUUAAAAUUUAUUCAUCUUUUUAAAUUUUAAACUAUUAUUAGUCAAAAGUUUCAAAAAUAAAUUAAACUCAACUUAACAUAAAGCUAUUUGGGUGUCAUUGUUUCUUUGUCAUACACUCUACCUUUUUUUUUAAGAACCUACUGUUGAUAGUUUUUCUAUCAAAAACUCCUCAAAAUAUUUAAAUUUUAUCUUCUAACUUGUCCUCUUGGUUAAUGUAACUAAUAACUAAAAUCUCAAAAUUCACAUAAAAGUUUAUGAAAUGUUGAUAGAUAGUUGUUACUAUAUAUCUUUUUUUGUAAGUAUUGGCAUUUUUUCAAUUAAAUUAUUUUUAUAAAUAAAUUAAAACAGUAAUAAUAUUUUAGUCCCCAAAUCUUUUCAAUCUAUUCAAUAAAUAUAUAAUUUAAUUAUUUCAUGAAAUAAGUCACUAAUUCCAACUGGGAAGAAAAUAUAAUUGAAUUAGGAACAUGUUUGAAAAUAAAAUAAAAACUCUAUUAUUUUAUAAAACUGAUUUAAAAAAAACAUAAGGGUAGUUAAAUUAGGGACAUAUAUAAAAAAAAUAAAACUAUAUUAUUAUCUAAAAUUAAUAAAAAAAAUAAGGGGUAUAAAUAACUUUCCUGGACUAAUCCGGGCUACACCCCCGCUUAGGUCCGCUUGCGCACUCAUUACUCCAAAUACAACGUUUAAAAUUUAAAAUCAAAUUUUUACUAUGUAAAAGGGAUAUUAUCAUUUUUCCACCAAAGGUAUUCUGACACAUCAUGUCAGUACCAUGGUUUGAUAAAACUAUCAUUUUACCACCAAACGUUUAAACUGUUAGCAUUUUCCCACCAUUUCGUUAAAACUCAGUUAAUAUUUAACGAAAAAUUAUUAAAAGGUCAAUUUUACCCCUAGAGCGUAAAAGACGAUUUUGCCCUUUAAGAAUGAACAACAAUAAGUGAUGAUUAAAUUACAAAAAUAACCCCAAAAGUAGCUGUUACAUUCAAAUAACGGCUACUUUUAUGCUUAUAAGAGCUGCUGCUGGUUGCCAUUUCAACCCGCAACCAGCAACCCCAAAUCAAAGGCCAGCAAGUAGGGGUGGGCAAAAUCGGGUUCGGAUCAACCCGAUCAGAUUUCGGGUUGAUCGGGUUGGAGAGAAACUCAUCCGAACUCAACCCGAAUUUUAGAUCAGAUCGGAUCGGAUCGGGUUAUAUUCGGGUCGGAUCUAAAAUUCGGAUCAAUUUCGGGUCAAUUCGGGUUAAGGACAAAAAAAGUCAUUUGUGUUAAUUUUGGGUUGUUUAAUAAUUAUUUAAUAAUUACAAGAUCACUUUUAUGCAAUUAGUUCAUUUUAGUCCAUUUCCACUUUCCAAUGACUGUCAUAAAAAAAAUAUAAACUGAAAUAGAAUUGAAAAAGUUGUGAGCUUGGAGGACUUGGUGUCAUGAAUCUCAGUCUCGGUCUCGUUGGAAGAACAACCAUGGAUCACUUCGCGCGGGUCAAGCAGCAGCCGAUGGAUCAAGCGGCAACGGGUUUCGUCGAUGGCUCAUGGCUUCACAGGUUUUGUCGGUGGCUACCGGAAAAGCAGAUCCAAUCGAAGUGAAGUGCAGCAACCGUCGAUGCAGCAGCAAGCAGAUCCUGUCGUCAGUGCAGCAGAUCUGGUCGAGUGGUGUGCUGCAUAUGGCCGUUGCUGUGCUAACCGUCUGUAGUUUUGUUGUUGCGAGAAAGAAGAGAAAGAAGACAGUGAAGAGAAAAAAGAGAGUUGUUUGUGUGAGUUGUGAGAAAGAAGAGAAAGAAGAUAGUGAAGAGAAAGAACACGGAGAGUGAGAAAGAAGAGAAAGAAGAGAGUGAAGAGAAAGAACACAGAGAGUGUUGGUGUGAGUCUGUGAGCCAUAGUGUUCGUAUAUGUUCUGUUUAGCCAUUUAGGUUGUUUGUGUGUGGCGUGUGUGUUUAGAUUUAGGUUUUUUUUUUUAAAGCAACCCGAUCGGGUUUUCGGAUCGGAUCGGAUUUGACCUGAUCCGAUCACAACCCGAUCGGAUUUCCUUUAUAACCCGAUCCGAUCCGAUCCGAACCCGAAAUUUUUCGGGUCGGGUCGGGUAUUUUGCCCACCCCUACCAGCAACCCCAUUUGAGCACCAACAACCCAGCUGAAAAAGAAAGAAAAUGGCAACCCAGCACAACUACAAGCCACAGUAAACAUUUCAAUACCACUGCACCAGCAAGCCCAAGCCAUUUUUAAACACCAGUAAGCUCAUUUUAUUACUAGCAAUCAUGCCAGGUUUGUACAUGCAGGUUUAAAAAGUGUAAUUUUUGGCAAUGGGCAGCAAAAAAAGAUAUGGAAAUGCGUAACAUUACAUCCAAUCAUGGCAUGAACCUAAAUGAAGAUGUGAUGAAGAUAAGUGAACUACUACGAUGCAUUGAAGCGAAACUGAAAUUGGUCGUAGUUUUUAUUUGUGGCAUUGUGAUAGGCUUAUUUAUGAGGAAGUAAUGUAAUAAACAUGAAAAAAUAUUGUAGCAAUCAAUCAUUGUAGCUGAAGAUGUAAUGAAGCAUUAUAGUUUAAGAUGUAAUGCAACUGGAAAGUAAUCAAAACAGUUUGUGGAUUCCAAAAACAUAACAGCAACUUAAUGCACUAAUAUAAAGUUUGUGCAUCCAAAAUACAUAACAACAACUUAAUGCAUUAAUAUAAAGUUUGUGCAUCUAAAAUACAUAACAGUAACUUAAUGCACUAAUAUAAAGUUUUGUGCAUCUAAAAUACAUAACAGCACCUUAAUGGUUAUUUCAUACAGCAUCUAAUAUCUGUGAAGCUUGUGAGCCUUGAGUUGGAUUCGGGGAAACAUUAUCAGCUUCAUAUUGGCCAGGACAAAAAAAUUAUUACCUCAUUAUCUAAGACCAACAGUAGCUAUUUGCAGACAUCAAACAUUAAUUUGAAACAAUAACUUACCAUUGUUACGUCUUCUUACUCCAUCGCCUCUUGCUCUUGCUCUGUUACUCCUUUGGCCCCUUCGGCCUCUAUUCCUUCCUCUUCCUCUAUUACCAGUACCUCAUCUUCCUCUAUGAGCAAUAAAGCUCUCUUGUGAACCACCUACAGCCUAUUUAAAUUGAAAUAUAUAAAUAAUCAAAUCAUCAAUAUUUAUAACAAACUAAAAAUUACUCAAUGAAUAACAAUAAACAAAUUACCACUUUCUUUGUCCUCUUUGAAGUACUUGCUGCAUUAGAACUUUCUCCCGGCCCACUAACUCCCUAUUUAAAAUUACAUAGAUAACAAACAAUAAAAAAUUAAUUUCAAUACACAUAAAAACAAUUAAAACAUUAGGUUAAGUGGCUGUUACCUGCUGAGCUCUUAAUUAUCUUGCUAUCGAUGGCCUUAAUGCACAUUUCCUGACAUUGUGGUUCAUCCCACCACAAAAUGAGCAGCAGAUAUAAAAUGAUUUUUUUUUUUUUAUUGGCUCAGUGGCUGCCCUUUUCCUUGACAUUUUUGGUCUACCAAUCUUCUUGGUAAUCUCAGGUGGAAAGAGCUUGGGCCUAUCACAAGGGUCCCAUGUAACUUUGUUAGGAAUUGGCUUGAACAUCACUGCAUAUGUGUUCAAGUACGCCUCUUUGCCGAAGUAUUUUGGUAGAUACUCUGUUGCUGUGUGUCUAGCAUGACUAAUUGCAGCCAUAACAUGAGUACAGGGGAUUCCAGCUAGGUCCCAAUAACCACAAUCACAAGACCUGCUCAUGAGAUCGACAAUGAACCUCCUUGUUGGAUAAUAACCCUUGUGUUUAACCUAACAAAAAUUACAUAAUGAUUAAAUAAUAAUUAUAAGGUUGAGGAAAAAAAAUUGAUUAACCUAACAAACAUUCAGGUUCAGGAAAAAAUUAAUUAUAAGGAACAUGAGUUAGAAUUAUACUUGAAAGUGAAGAUCCCCAGAAGCCAUUACAUUCAUCUUGCUUCCACAUUCAUAUGCAACAUCCAAUUCUUUUUUCACUCUAGGUGGAAUGUUGGUCUAAGAUUGUGCUUCUUUUUUCCUUUUUGUGAAGAGUGUCAUGAACAUGCAUCUAAUUUCUUCAAGCAUGUUCAAGCAAGGCUUCUCUCUGUGGGGUAAUAUCCAACUAUUAAAACACUCUGAAGUGUUGUUAGUUGUACGAUCUACCUUGCAAUUCUUGUCAUACUCAUGUCUUGACCAAGUAAACCCAGCAAGCUCAGUCUCCAGCCACUGCCAUGCCUCUAACUUCUCUUUUUUGAGGUUUUCCAUUGCAAUAGCGUAAUCAUACUUGUUAGUGCUACUGACAGCCCUCCAAAACAGAUUUCUCAAACUAACACCAGGAUGUUCUUUGUAGAAGUUAGUAUAUAUAUGCCUAGCACAUGGUCUAUGAUAUGCAGUAGGCCAAGUUAUCUCAAUGGCCCCCAACAAACCCUUUUGCCUAUCUUAGCAAAAUGUAAUAUGCUCUAAGCCAUUAUCAAAAUACGAAUGCAGAAUUUCUAAAAACCACGACCAGGUUUCAGUAUUCUCUAUCUCACACACUGCUAAUGCUAAUGGGACCAUUCCAUUAUUAGCAUCCAUACCUGUUGAGUGUUAGAAAAUGCAUAUUUAUAAAGGAGAAAACCGUCAUUUUACAUUUCAAGUCUUAUUAACAACCCUUACUUUUAUGUAUUUAACCUUCUUGUGAUUUAAUUACAUGUCUUUUAUUUUAAUUAAGUAUUUUAUGUAUUUUAGGGGCAUUAUAGUCAUUUCACAAUAAAGGAGAGAUCAGAUGGCAAAACGGACAUCACUUUUGAACUCAGGACGGUCGAAAACCUUAGGAGGAGCAUAAAAGGAAAAAUGACACUAUUCACAUGUACGGUACUAUUCACGUAUACGGUACUGUCUACGUUACUGUUCACGAAACUGUUCACAUAGACGGAUCGAUGACGUGGCAUUGACCGAUGAUGUGGCAUUGACUGAUGAGGUGUCACGAUCCUGUUGGACUAAACUUCUUAUGUACUGUUGAUGGUGACGUGGCAGCAUAUCAGUGGAUGAAAAAUCUCGCGUACGGUGCAUGCAUCACACAGGAUUAUUUUCAACCAAACCGCGUUACUGUUCAUCCGGGUCAAACCGUGUUACUGUUCAUCCGCGUGGUCAAACCGUGGACUGUUGACUGAUGACGUGGCGCAAUCCUGAGCGUCCAAACUAUUUUUAAUCCGAUGGCCAUGAUUUACUCCAUGUAUCUAUAAAAAGGGGGCCUCCCCCCCCUAAUUUGAUAUCUCUGAAUCCAUUUUUGGGAUCCAUUUUCUGUAAUUCCCUCUCCAUCUUGUAUUUUCUUUGUAUUUUAAUAAAUUCCCAUUUUGCCCCUAGUUCAAUUAUGAGUGGCUAAUUUUCUUUCAAGCUUGGGUUGAAGGUGAAGUCUCAACAUGUGUCAUGGGCUUUAUUUGGUAAAUUUAUUUUCUUUUCCCCUCUAGUUUUUGUGGAUGAUUUGACUUAUCGUCGACAAAUAAUACUGAUCUUGUCUAGAUACCGCCUUGGUUACACCGGCUCUCUAGUAUAAGGUUAUUAUUAUUUGGCACGAUAAGCCCUUAGCACCAUAUUGAUUAGAGCGUGGUUCAUGAGGUGUGGAUCCCCCCCUCAUGAUUUAAUUGGCAUUAAUACGGAUUAUUUAGCCCAUGAUGCAUGUUGAUACGGAUCCAGAUACCCAAGUACGUCAUUUCAAUAGAUUUCGCUUCAACUUAUUCUCGCCAUUGCAAUUCCAAUUUUAGAAUUUAUUAUCGCAAUUUCAAUUCCAAUUUUAGGAUAAUUUAAAUCACUUCCACCACAAUUCCAACCACCCAUUUUGCAAAAUUAAUUCUAUACACAAUUAAAAUCCUCCUCCUCGUGGGAUCGACACUCGUCACCAUUGAUCUACACUACAAUAGAUUCAUGCGCUUGCGAGUACAUUAAAAUUUGCACAACAAGUUUUUGGCGCCGUUGCCCGGGGAGGUAAGUAAUUUUAAUUCAUAGAAUUAAUUUUUGUGAAUAAUUUCUUUUAAAUUGUUUUCUUGUAUUUUUUUUAUUAAAAAAAAAAAGGUGAAUCUGCAUUUAAAGGUUAGUAUUUCUUUUCUUUUUCUCUUCUUUAAAAUUCUGUAAUUUAAUUUUCAAUUUAUUUUUUUCUUUGUAAUUUUUAUUUAUUUUAUUAAUUUAAUUUUUAGUUAAUUUAUUUCACGUAUUUGUUUUUGUGUAUUUUUAUAAAAAGGUUGUAAUAGCGCAAUAAGGUUAGUAUCGUAAUUUCUCCCUCUUCUUUAUUUUUAUUUGUUUUGUUCCCAUCUUUAUUUUUAUUUUAUUUGUUUUGCAUGCAUGGUCGUAGGUCAUUAUUACCUAAUCUUGAACCUAUAGACCUUGAAUUAGAAAAAACACUUCGCACACAAAAGCACAUUAAAAAUAAAUUUGGAAUGGAUUUACAAGCACCACAGGAGAGGCCAUUUAAGGACUAUUUUAGUCCCUUAGCUAAUUUGAGCACAUCAUGCAUAAGAUACCCAAAUGUAGCUGCUAGGAGUUUUGAAUUAAAACCUAGUGUGCUAAAUUGUCUCCCCACAUUCUAUGGCUUAGAAAAUGAGGACCCAUAUAAUCAUCUGAAUGAUUUUCAUACCAUUUGUCAAACUUUUAAAUAUGAAAAUUUUUCAGACGAUGAUGUUAAACUCAGAUUAUUCCCAUUUUCUUUAAAGGAUAGAGCUCGUUCAUGGCUUAAUACAUUGCCUGCUAAUAGCAUUGCAUCAUGGGAACAAAUGGUUACAAAAUUUCUAAAUAAAUAUUUCUCAGUGCAUAAAACUAAUUCUAUUCGCAGGGAAAUUUCAGAGUUUACACAAAGAGAGGACGAGCAGUUUUUCGAAACUUGGGAGCGAUUCAAUGGGCUACUCUUGAAGUGUCCACAUCAUGGGUACGAAAAAUGGCAUCAAUGCCAAUACUUUUUGGAGGGAUUAUUGCCGAAUGUGCAAGAAUGGCUAAUGGCAACAAGUAGAGGAGAGCUAAUGUCAAAAAGCGCAACAGAGAUUUGGGAAUUCUUCCAGCGACAAGCGGAUAAUUCCCAACAACGGAGUCGAUCAUUCAGGAAUACUAGAAAAAUUAAAGGAGUAAAUGAGGUUCACAUUGGCGAGUCAACUUCGGAAAUCAAAGAAGUCAAGGAGAUGGUUGAAGGUCUUGCUCGACAAAUAGCAUCGUUAUCGACUGCUAAAUCAACAGAAUCACAUGACCAUGACUCAUAUUCAGAUCAAGCCAAUGCCAUAGGUGUAAUGAGAAAACCAUCGAAUUACAACCCAUACUCCAACACAUAUAAUCCUGGAUGGAGAGAUCACCCCAAUUUUUCAUGGUCUCAAGGAUUCCAACAGAAUGGACCAACAGCUCCAGCUCCACUACUGCAACCAAUUCCUCAAAAUCCUCAAGCCUCUCAGCCACCAUUCAGACCAUACAAUCAGAACCAGAACUACUCUCAACCCAGACCAUGGGAGGAUGCAUUCCAGAAUUUCAAGAAUGUUACUCAUUCUACCAUUGAGCAACAGAACCGCACCAUUGAUGGACUACGAAAUGAAUUGAGAGCGGGCUUUAACUCACAAGCCCAAUCAGUUUCAAGCCUCGAGAAGAUGGUGGGACAACUCGCUUCUUCAGUUCAGACAUUGGCAAUGACUAUUGAGAAAGGCAAGUUUCCAAGUCAACCAGUGCCUAAUCCUAAAGGAGUACAUGAAGCAAGUACCAGUUCACCACAGCAGCAUGGGGAGGUCAAAGCAGUCAUGACCUUGCGAAAAGGAAAAGAAGUCGACAACAAAGUGGAGAUGCCGGUGACCAAAGAAAAUCAAAUUGUACCUGUGAAUGUUGAAGACUCACCACCGGAGGAAAAAGAAGAAACCAACCCACGAGAAUAUGUUCCUAAAGCUCCAUUUCCUCAGAGGUUAGCGAAAGGAAAGAAGGGAAAAUCCACAGGUGAGAUUCUCGAAAUCUUCAAACAGGUAAGUGUUAACAUCCCUUUACUUGAUGCUAUUAAACAAGUUCCAUCUUAUGCCAAGUUUCUUAAAGACCUUUGUACUAAAAAGAGAAACAUGCAUGUUCAAAAGAAGGCAUUUUUAACAGAAAACGUUAGUUCUAUACUCCAACAUAAAAUUCCUUUAAAAUGCAAAGACCCAGGCUCCCCCACUAUCUCAUGUAGUAUAGGGAACCACACAAUUGAGAAUGCUUUGUUGGAUUUAGGAGCUAGUGUAAAUUUGUUGCCUUAUUCAGUAUUUGUGAAACUUGGACUGGGAGAAUUACACCCAACUCCAGUGGUGUUACAGCUUGCAGAUCGGUCCACGAAAAUACCUCGUGGUAUUGUGGAGGACGUGCUUAUCCAGGUAGACAAGUUUUAUUUUCCUGUUGAUUUCAUUGUAAUUGACACUCAACCAAUACAGGACUCAAGGAAGCACAUCCCCAUUAUUCUAGGCCUACCUUUCUUGGCAACUGCGGAUGCUCACAUUCAAUGCAGGACUGGAAAUAUGCAGUUGUCCUUUGGCAACAUGACUAUGGAGCUAAACAUUUUCAACAUUGCCAAACAACCUCAUAGUCCAGAUGAUGGAAUUGUUGAUGUGGAUUUAAUAGAAACAAUAGUCGAUAAUACUUUUAUUUCAAACCUUAGUGAUGACCCUUUACAGACAUGCUUAACUCACUUUGGUUUGAAUUUUGAUAUUGACAGAUCGGUCGAUGAGGUCAACACUCUACUUGACUCAGCACCAUCCAUGGACACUAAUAAAUGGAAGUCAAGAGUUGAACAACUAGCACCAUCAGAGAAGAAAAUCAUCCCAUCAUCAGAAUCACCACCGAAACUCGAGCUCAAACCAUUACCCAACACAUUGGAAUAUGCGUUUUUGGGAGAAGAAAGCACUCUACCGGUAAUCAUCUCAUCAUCCCUAAACGACGAACAAAAAGGUAAGUUAUUGGAUGUUUUAAAAGAGCACAAAGGAGCAUUAGGAUGGACCAUAGCAGAUAUUAAAGGUAUAAACCCAGUAGACUGCAUGCAUUACAUUCACCUUGAUGAAAAUGCUAAAACUACUAGGGAAAUGCAACGUCGGUUAAAUCCUAAUAUGAAAGAAGUUGUUAGAACAGAAGUCCUUAAGCUAUUAGAUGCAGGUAUCAUUUACCCAAUUUCUGAUAGUUCAUGGGUCAGUCCUGUACAAGUUGUCCCCAAAAAGUCAGGAGUCACAGUAGUUACCAAUGCUGAUAAUGAAUUGAUACCAACUAGAGUAACUACAGGAUGGCGUGUAUGCAUUGAUUAUAGAAAAUUGAAUUAUGUCACACGUAAAGACCAUUUUCCUUUACCAUUUAUUGAUCAAAUGCUUGAUAGAUUAGCAGGCCAUGAAUUUUAUUGCUUUCUGGAUGGUUAUUCAGGAUAUAAUCAGAUUCCCAUAGCACCAAAAGAUCAGGAGAAAACUACUUUCACUUGCCCUUUUGGCACUUUUGCAUAUAGGAGAAUGCCAUUUGGAUUAUGUAAUGCACCUGCUACAUUCCAACGAUGCAUGUUGAGCAUUUUUUCUGAUAUGGUUGAACGAUUCCUUGAAGUCUUUAUGGAUGAUUUUUCUGUCUUUGGUGACUCGUUUGAUCAAUGUUUACAUCAUCUAACGCUAGUUCUGCAGAGAUGUAUCGAGAAGAACUUAGUCUUAAAAUGGGAGAAGUGUCAUUUUAUGGUAAAACAAGGUAUUGUUCUCAGUCACAUCAUUUCAAGCAAAGGUAUUGAGGUUGACAAAGCCAAGGUGGAUCUCAUUUCUAAUCUUCCUCCACCUAAAACAGUCAGAGAAGUAAGAUCUUUCCUUGGGCAUGCUGGUUUCUAUAGACGUUUCAUUAAAGAUUUUAGCAAAGUUUCUAGACCCUUAUGCAAUUUACUUGCUAAGGAUGUACCUUUUAUCUUUAAUGAUUCAUGUCUUAUGGCUUUUGAAAAAUUAAAGCGAUUGUUGACAUCAUCACCCAUCAUUCAGGCCCCAAACUGGAGUUUACCAUUUAAGCUCAUGUGUGAUGCAUCUGAUUAUGCAGUAGGAGCAGUAUUAGGACAAAGAGUUGAUCGAAUUCCCCAUGUUAUUUACUAUGCUAGUAUGACAUUGAAUAAUGCACAGUUGAACUAUUCAACUACUGAAAAAGAAAUGCUAGCAGUAGUGUUUGCAUUAGAGAAAUUUCGAUCUUAUCUCAUUGGUUGUAAAAUAAUUAUAUUCACAGAUCAUGCUGCUCUUAAAUAUCUUCUCAUAAAGAAAGAUGCAAAAGCUAGACUAAUUCGUUGGGUGUUACUUUUGCAGGAAUUCGACUUGGAAUUCAAGGAUAAGAAAGGCACAGAGAAUGUUGUAGCGGACCACCUCUCUCGUCUCCAUUUUGACACAAUUACAGAAUCAUUACCAUUGAAUUAGUCAUUUCCAGAUGAACAAUUAAUGAAUGUGGAAGUAUUACCUUGGUAUGCUGAUAUAGUUAAUUAUCUUGUUACAGGUAAACUUCCAGAGCAUUGGACCAAGCAAGACAAGGCUAAAUUCUUUGCGGAAAUAAAGAAUUUCUUUUGGGAUGACCCGUAUUUGUUCAAGUAUUGUGCAGACCAAAUUGUUAGACGAUGUGUCCCUGAAAAUGAAAUUCAGAAUAUUCUUUCAUUCUGCCAUGCACAAGCUUGUGGAGGCCAUUUCAGUGCUAAGAAAACAGCGACUAAAGUUUUACAAUGUGGUUUCUAUUGGCCAACUAUAUUUCGAGAUGCUUACACUUUCUGUUCUUCAUGUGAUAGGUGUCAACGAAUGGGGAGCAUUACACGAAGGAACAUGAUGCCACUAAAUCCAAUUUUAGUGGUUGAGAUUUUUGACGUAUGGGGUAUCGACUUCAUGGGACCCUUUCCUCCGUCUUUUGGUCAUCAAUACAUAUUGGUUGCUGUUGACUACGUAUCGAAAUGGGUGGAAGCAAUUCCAUGCAGAACCAAUGAUCACAAAGUGGUGAUAGGAUUUUUGAAAAGCAACAUUGUUUCACGCUUUGGAUUCCCUCGAGCGAUAAUCAGUGAUGGUGGUGCCCACUUUUGUAACAAAGCAUUCAAAGCUCUUUUGACAAAGUAUUCAAUCACCCACAAAGUGGCGACUCCGUAUCAUCCGCAAACCAGUGGCCAAGUUGAGAUCUCCAAUCGAGAAAUAAAGCACAUAUUAGAAAAGACGGUGAGGCCAGACAGGAAAGAUUGGUCAUUACGACUUGAUGAUGCAUUAUGGGCAUAUAGAACGGCUUUCAAGACCCCGAUUGGGAUGUCACCCUACAGGCUAGUGUAUGGAAAAGCUUGCCACCUACCUGUGGAACUCGAGCAUCGUGCAUAUUGGGCCAUCAAGAAAUUCAACUUUGACAUGCAGCAAGUCAGCUCAGAAAGAAGAUUACAGCUGGCAGAACUUGAAGAAAUUCGCAAUGAUGCAUACGAAAAUGCCAAGAUUUACAAGCAACGAAUGAAAGUCUUCCAUGAUAAGCAAAUUAUGAGAAAAUCGUUCACUCCAGGUCAGAAAGUGUUUUUAUUCAAUUCUCGCUUGCACCUAUUCCCAGGUAAGUUACGCUCUCGAUGGUCUGGUCCCUUUAUUGUUCAUACUGUUUUUCCACAUGGGGCAAUUGAAAUUAAAGACCCAAAGAACGGUGUCACGUUUAAAGUUAAUGGUCAAAGAUUAAAGCCAUAUCUAGAGUACCAACCACAUGAAGAAGACACCGAAAUAAAUUUGAGUGACCCACCAGAUUUGAAUUAAUUUUUUUUCUCUUUUUAUUGAUUUGAUUUUUCUUUCUUUCUUUUUAUUAUUCUUUUGCUAAUUGAAAUUGUUUUUGCAUAAGUGUGUUUAUUUUACCAUUAAGUUUUCUCUUAUCAUUUUUAAUCAUGAGUCUCCUACUUAGACCGUUCCUCCUGAACAUUCUUAAACCACUUCAACGUGUCAAAACUCAUCUCAAAAGGCAGAUUCUAUUUUGUAAAACACAACGCAUUUGGGCUCUACAACCACCAGAGUUAGUAGCCUAUGUUGAGGGUUUAGAACGCCAACUCAGAGAUAUUGAGAGAAGUGUUUACGACAUCCAGUUGGAGCUUGAGGUAAAUUCAAUAAGAGGACGAUUUUAAUUUUCUUUGUGUGUUUUGAUUUGUUUUUCUGUUUGUGUGCUUUAGUUUGUUACCCCGGUGAAGUGGCGGAUAACGGUACUCCGUGACAAUCAAGUCGGUUAACUUCAGUUUCCCAUAAUAACUGAUAUUCUGAGGCGAAGGUAUGGAUACAAACGAGAUUUUAGCAAAGCUUCACAAGCGAUUCCCUUCACUUCCUCAGAAUGCCCUCCUUACGAUCUAUAAAGCCCGGUCUGAACGCAUGCGAUUGCUCAUGAGGAAUAACAUACCUGCAGACAUCCGUUGGUUAAUCGAGGCUAAAGUACGAUCGGCAGGUGAGUUACCUCCAAAAUUUAUUGCAUUCAUGCCUGGUUGUGGUAAAGGAAAUUAUGCAAGAAAACGACGAGCUCGAAGAAUUUCUGUUGCUUGUCAUAAGUGUGCCAGAAUGAGUUGCGAUAAAAACCCAUGUUCUUUAGGAAUGGUGUCUGAUAACAGGGAAGAUAAGAUUCAAUUCAUUAGGGAUGGCUUGAAUAAGGAGUCAUUGGAUGAUAUCCUUUUGUCUCUUGAAACGCAUCCUAGUGGAUAUGUGCAAGGAGCGAUUCUCCAGUUAUGGCCAUUAUUCCAGAAAGAGCAUGCACGAUAUAGUCUCGGGAAUCUGACUAUAAACGACCCUGUUUGCCAGUUUAUAAGAAAACUGGAUAGGAAGCCUAUCCUCGACCCAUAGAGGGCGUUCAAGCCGUUUCUGGACGUAAAACCAGAGGAAGAUGUGAGCCACAGUCGCAACUACCUGUAAAUAUCCUUUUACUUUACUGUUGUUUUAUUUUACUGUUGUUUUAUCGUUUGUAUUAUUAUCUUUAAUAAUUUUAUUACUGUUUGCUUUUUCCUUUUUACUGUUUCCUUUUUGACUCGCGAGCCACGUGCUUUACGCGUUAUUUGACACUGACAUGUUACCUCAUUCACAGCUGUGAUCCACUGUCACCAAGAUUCUUAAAUGUGAUUUAUCUUUUGUCAAGCACUCACAAAUUAUUUUUGAGAAGUAUCACAAUGGCAGCUACUCCCAAUAGACAAUUCAAGAACAUUUGUGUGCUUUCUGGAUUUACCUAUGGCAAACAUAAAGAGUUCGUGGAGGCAGCCAUAGAUCUUGGUCGAAGCAUAGCAGCGAGAAAAUUACAUUUGGUGUAUGGAGGAGGUAACCGAGGGUUAUCAAAAAUGGUCUCAGAAGCAGCUUUUAUCAGAGGAAGUCAAGUGUUAGGCAUCAUCCCAAGAGUCCUAAAACCAUUGGGCAGUUCAUCUAACUCAUCAACUGGAGAAGAGUUAGUCGUCUCAGGUAUGCAAGAAAGAAUAACUGAAAUGCUUAAUCAUGUUGAUGCUUUUAUUUUCCUUCUAGGAGAUCUUGCAACACUAGAGGCACUUAUGACACUAGCAUCUUGGGCCCAUCUGCACAUCCACCAGAAACCCAUCGGUUUGUUAAAUGUCAAUAACUUUUAUGAUGGCUUUAUCGCAUUUCUUAACCAUGCAAUAAAAAACUAUUUCAUUCCUUCUAAUGUGAAAAAACUCUUUAUUUGUGCUCACACUGCUAAUGAGCUACUUGAUAUGUUACAAGCUUAUAAACCGGAGCCAGACCCCUGGACCUUUGUGUUGGAGCGACCAAAUAAUGAUGGUAACAGUAGCCGCAGUAAGAAGUACAAAUUAGAUUUAACUCUCCGCCUGUAAAUAUUUUCUUCUGUGUUGCACCACCCAGGUGAUGUCUUCUAAACUCUACUUCUUUCCUUUAAAACAUUGAGGACAAUGUUUCGUUCUGGUUGGGGGGAGGGAAUAGUCGACAAUUGUGGAAUCUUGGUUAAGUUUUUACUAAUUUUUUGUUGUAGAAACUAACUGUUGCUAACGUUUUGUGUUGAAGAUGGCUGAAUAUGGAGUGUAGUUACUCUAGAAACGCAUCUUCAUCGUUUUAAAAAAAAAAAAAAAAACUCGUUUGCUUCCUCUUUCUCCUUUAUAAAUAUGUAGUUUCAAAUUUUUGAGUCGAAGAUGGCUGAAUAUGGAGUGUAGUGCCUCUAGAAACGCAUCUUCUUAGUUAAAAAAAAAAAAAUCUUUUUCUAAUUAAUUUUUCUACAUCAUUUUCACAUUUCUGCAUGCAUAUUUUCCUUUCAUGUUUAGAAUAGGUUGGGGGGUAGAAUGUUGUUUAAAAAAAAAAAAAAUUUGUGUUAUUUGUUUUAACAUUGGAUGACAUGAUUAAUUUCAAAUUUUAGUAUUUGUAUUAUCUUUGGUCUUAAGUGAUGUUACGCUAUGUUUGCUACUUUACAUGUUGAUGUCGGAGACAAAUAUGAGUUGCUUGAAGGAAUGAACAUGUCAUAAAUAAGUGCCAAGUGAGUUGUUGAGCCUAUCAUUUUCUUGGAGAGUAACCCUUUUGCCCAUUCUCUAUACAGCUUAGCAGUUUAUUAUUUUAUACACGAUCUCUAGAUUUCUUUUGAGUUAACCCUUUAAAAAAAAUGGUAAAAAUAAAAAAAAUAAAAAAUGUGUGUUGCUAUAUUGGGAUGCCCAUUUAACUAGUAGAUAUGGAUAAUUAUUUAGAGCCCUAAAAAACGAUGGAAAGGCCAUCUUUGAUCCGUUUGAGCCUUUCUAGCCAUCCCUGUUAUUAAAUAUCCAUAGUUACCCCUUUUGAGCCUUUAAAAAAAAAAAAAAAUCUUUUCUUUGUCAACUUAUCAUCUUGACCCACUCCGAUUUGGAGUAUUACUCAAUGUCUUUUAAGUUCCAUCACCUAUUUAUGUUUGAGAAAAUGUAAAUAAUUAUGUUGUUCAGUGAAGUUAUGCCAAAAAAAUAAAAAAUAAAAACAAAAAAUAAAAACAAAAACAAAAGUUGUUGUUUCAAAAGAAUAAAAAUAACAAUAAUAGGUGAAAUCCACCUUGCAAGUUCCAAAAAAAAAAAAAAAAAUCUGCAUUUUUCUCAAACAUACACUUUGUUUUCCUUAUUUCCCUUCUUUGUUAGCCAUAUCCCUAGCCUACGUUACGUCCUAAUAAAAGUCCUUCUUGAUUUUAGGAAACUAUAGUUUGAAGUAGAAGCUAGUUAUAUGGGCUAAAAAGAUGUAGUGAUGCAUAAUAAAAAAAAAAGAUAAAUAAAGUGGGUUGACUAACAUUUUAUUUGACUUGAGAUCGUAUUAUUUCUAAGCUGAGGGCAUAUUUAUUUCAUCUUGGUGAGAGCAUGUGAUAUCAUUUCUUUAUUAUUUUCUCUCUCAAUUACCAUUCAUUGGAGUGACUAUGUUUAUUGGGUUUUAAUUUCUUUGUGAGAGUGUCACUACUUCCAGUGAGAUUUUGGGGUUUGACAUGUCAUUCUUGAAAGUAGCUAUAACAAAGUCUACUGGGCUAAUUCAUGUGGAUGGUUGAUGUGGGUGUGAUGUUGCUUUAGACUGAAGAUAAUGCUUAUACUUUUAUUUGAUUGCUAUCAUUAAUCUGAUUGAAUAAACACGAGUGUUCCCAUAAAAAAAAAAAAAAAAUCAUUUUGAAUUUGAAUUUUGUUUUCGCUUUAUUUGCUAGGGACUAGCAAUAAGCUGGUUGGGGGGUGUGUUGAGUGUUAGAAAAUGCAUAUUUAUAAAGGAGAAAACCGUCAUUUUACAUUUCAAGUCUUAUUAACAACCCUUACUUUUAUGUAUUUAACCUUCUUGUGAUUUAAUUACAUGUCUUUUAUUUUAAUUAAGUAUUUUAUGUAUUUUAGGGGCAUUAUAGUCAUUUCACAAUAAAGGAGAGAUCAGAUGGCAAAACGGACAUCACUUUUGAACUCAGGACGGUCGAAAACCUUAGGAGGAGCAUAAAAGGAAAAAUGGCACUAUUCACAUGUACGGUACUAUUCACGUAUACGGUACUGUCUACGUUACUGUUCACGAAACUGUUCACAUAGACGGAUCGAUGACGUGGCAUUGACCGAUGAUGUGGCAUUAACUGAUGAGGUGUCACGAUCCUGUUGGACUAAACUUCUUAUGUACUGUUGAUGGUGACGUGGCAGCAUAUCAGUGGAUGAAAAAUCUCGCGUACGGUGCAUGCAUCACACAGGAUUAUUUUCAACCAAACCGCGUUACUGUUCAUCCGGGUCAAACCGUGUUACUGUUCAUCCGCGUGGUCAAACCGUGGACUGUUGACUGAUGACGUGGCGCAAUCCUGAGCGUCCAAACUAUUUUUAAUCCGAUGGCCAUGAUUUACUCCAUGUAUCUAUAAAAAGGGGGCCUCCCCCCCCCUAAUUUGAUAUCUCUGAAUCCAUUUUUGGGAUCCAUUUUCUGUAAUUCCCUCUCCAUCUUGUAUUUUCUUUGUAUUUUAAUAAAUUCCCAUUUUGCCCCUAGUUCAAUUAUGAGUGGCUAAUUUUCUUUCAAGCUUGGGUUGAAGGUGAAGUCUCAACAUGUGUCAUGGGCUUUAUUUGGUAAAUUUAUUUUCUUUUCCCCUCUAGUUUUUGUGGAUGAUUUGACUUAUCGUCGACAAAUAAUACUGAUCUUGUCUAGAUACCGCCUUGGUUACACCGGCUCUCUAGUAUAAGGUUAUUAUUAUUUGGCACGAUAAGCCCUUAGCACCAUAUUGAUUAGAGCGUGGUUCAUGAGGUGUGGAUCCCCCCCUCAUGAUUUAAUUGGCAUUAAUACGGAUUAUUUAGCCCAUGAUGCAUGUUGAUACGGAUCCAGAUACCCAAGUACGUCAUUUCAAUAGAUUUCGCUUCAACUUAUUCUCGCCAUUGCAAUUCCAAUUUUAGAAUUUAUUAUCGCAAUUUCAAUUCCAAUUUUAGGAUAAUUUAAAUCACUUCCACCACAAUUCCAACCACCCAUUUUGCAAAAUUAAUUCUAUACACAAUUAAAAUCCUCCUCCUCGUGGGAUCGACACUCGUCACCAUUGAUCUACACUACAAUAGAUUCGUGCGCUUGCGAGUACAUUAAAAUUUGCACAACAAUACCCACAGCGGCUAAUAGAACUCCACCAUAUUUUGAUUUCAAGUGACACCCAUCCAACCCGAUAUAUGGCCUACAGCCAUUGUUAAGGGCAUUUUUUUAAGCUGGAAAUGCCAUAAAGAAUCUUUGAAAGAGCACUUUCUCAGGCCUAGUUACAGCAUCACAAAGCACUUUACAAAUUGCACCAGGAUCAUACUUGUGAAUCACUGCAGCAUAUUGAAACAAAUCUUCGUAUCCCCUCGCAUGAUCUCCAUUAAUGUCUUUUCUUGCCCUCUCUCUAGCCCUAUAUAGUUUUAAAUCCCCUAUCCGCACACCAUAAGUCUCCAGCAUAAACUCACGAAGAACAGAAAUCUUCACAUGCGCAUCUACAGCAACUUUGCUCUUAAUUUUCUCUGCUAUCCAUUUAUUGUUCACAGCCACUGACUUUCCAGUCUGUCUACAUUCAUGCUUCUUUUGCAACUCUUCGAUUGCAAAUCCACCCUUGCCCCUUAUUUUACCUCCCAUCACAUACCAUGGACACUCAUUAAUCUUGCAUUUUCUGUAAAAUCUCCUAGGCUCAUUGUACACCUUUGUAAUUUCAAUGCCUUUAUCCACCAUCACUUCACCUAACACAUAUCUAAACUGUUCAACAUCAUCAAAUACAUCUCCUAACCUCAGCCUAUGUUUACCAUUACGCCUUGGCUUAUAUGCAUGCACUUCAAUAUCAUCCUUCAGCUGAGUGGUACCCAAAUCAUAAUAUGAAUCUGAUGUGUCUGCUAACAGCUGAGGAUCUACUUCAGCUGUUUCAUCGUCAGAACUAGAACCCCUAGCAUCAUCCAUAAUAUCUGCACCAUUAUCUUCAUUUUGGUCAUCGUCAUCAGCAUCAUCAUCAUCAGUGUCAUCUAUACGACUCCCAUCAGUUGAAUAUACUACAUCAUCAUCAUCAUUCUCAUGCCCAUCAUUCUCAUUCAGUUCUGUUGGUGGCCCUUGUAUGCCUCCAGUCCUAGGUGGUGGUUCAUUUCCACCAUCAUUCACCCAUGUAAUUUGCUCUGCAGAUAACUGCACUCCACAGUUAUGUAGCAUCGCUUGUAACACCCCACAAAGUGGUAAAUCAGGACGUAGGGUUGGCAAAAUUGUGGCUUCAAACACUGCCACUUCCAUUUAAUCAUGUACAGCGAACUGAGCCUGCAACACUGCCUCAGAAUCUACAGUAAUCGAAAGCUUGUCCCUUGGGUUGGUAACCGAUAACUGCACACUUUCAGGAGUUUCUUCAUCUGCUGCAGGGUAUAUUCUUCAGGUUCAAUCAACCCUAUAGGAUGUCUUUCACCUUUGUAAAGUAAAUGUAGUUGUAAUGGUAACAUCAUCUACCAGAUUAAAAACGAGGAAACAUUUUGAAUAACUAAAAUUACAGCAUAACUCAAAGCAAUUUAAUUAGGUAAAAAGUAAUGAAAAAUAACUAAAAUUAUGGCCAAUAACCAAAAUUUCAGCAAAACGGCAAAUGCAUGUAAGCUUAAUGGUUACAAAUAAAAAAUUAAUUAACAGUAAGCAAAAAUUAAUUAACAAUAGGCAACUAAUAAUCCUAAUCUAUUAAAUUCAAGUGCCAAUCACAACUCAAAGCAAUUUAAUUAGGUAAAAAGUAACGAACAAUAAUCAAAAUUAUGCCCAAUAACCAAAAUUACAGCAAAACGGCAAAUGCAUGUAAGCUUGAUGAUUACAAAUAAAAUGGCAAAAAUUCAUUAACAAUAACCAAGCAGUAAUCCUACUUACAAUGGACAAAGUAGAAGACAGUAGAGAUGGAAGAACACUGCUGCGAGAGUGAGAGAGAUAUGCGUCAGUUACAAUGAGCGAGAGAGAGCAGAGAUGGAAGAAGAAUCGAGAGAGAGGGGGAUUGAUUUCGAUUUCUAGGGCUCCAUGUCCAAAUUGCCCGCUUUCUUUACAAUUGCAAAACGCAACGUUUUCGCCUCACGUGAUAUGUCCAAAAUACCCUUAUGACGUCAGCAUAAUUUUUAUUCAGUUAACGGAAUUGUGGGAAAAUGCUAACAGUUUAAACAUUUAGUGGUAAAAUGAUAGUUUUACCAAACCAUGGUACUGACAUGAUGUGUCAGAAUACCUUUAGUGGGAAAAUGAUAAUAUCCCUAUGUAAAAUAUAUAAAUCUAAAAAAUAGUCUUGAAUUUUUUUUUUUUUUGGGCUCCUGUUUUAUUAUUCUUUUUCUAAAGUAAUUUUCUCUCUUCUUAUUAAAGGCUUGAGAUAAAUUAUAUAUCCCUUUUUCUUUUAUUGAAUCAUAAUUCUUCGUUUCUUCUAUUGAAUCAUAGUUCUUGUGAUUUUGAUUUUUAGUAUGUAUUGCCUACAAUUUAUCAUUGAGGUAUCAGUUACAUAAAUAUAAUUUUCCAUUAAUCUUAUUUCGAAGAUGUUAAUGAAAUAUAUUUGGUGAAAACGAUAUUAGAGUGAGGAUACGUGCACCCAUGACAAAAAUUUGCAAAGAACUCUUCAAUCUUUCAAAUUUUCCAAUUGAUAAAGAAUUGAUUUAAAAAGAAGAAGAAGAUGAUGAUGGUGAUUUAAGAUUUUAUAAUACAUGGGUGUGUCAAGGAUAUUUGUUUCAAGUUAAAAUUAUUCAAUCCUUAAUACUAAUUUCAUAAAAGGACGUUUUUAUAAUCUAAAAUUUUAUUAAAUAAAGAGGAUUAAAAAUAACUUUUAGAAUAUAUAAAUAAAUAGCCUCUCUCGAUUAUAAAGUACAAGGUCACUCGAUGAUGUCAUGAAUUUAUGUAAUCAAAUAUGAAUUAUGUAAAUGAAACAUAAGACUUAUAAAUUUAAUAUAAAACAUGUAAAUCAAUAUUAACUGUGAACUAACAUAUAAAUUAUGUAAAUAAAAUAUUAGACUUGUAAGUAGAAGGUAAAACAAACAAAUUAAUAUAGGAGUGAUAAAUUGGUAUAUUAUUGGUAAAUAAAAGAAAAACUUACAAAUGUAAUAUAUAAUUUAUAAAUCAAUAUUAAGUGUGAAAUAAAAUAUAAAUUGCGUAAAUGAAACAUAAGACAUGUAAAUAAAAGAUAAAAUAAGUAAAUUAAUAUAAGAUAUAAUAUAAAACUAUUAGUAGUAAACAAAAUAAAAAUUUAAAGAUAUAAUAUAAAACUAUAAAUCAAUAUUAAGUACAAAAUAAAACAUAAGUUUAGGUGUAAUUUACAAAAUUAAUAUAAGAUUUAUUAAAAAAAACUUACAAAUGUAAAAUAAAAAUUCAUUAUAAUAUUGAUUACCUUAUAUAUUUAUUGAUUCUAUUUUAAAUUGAAUAAUGAUAGUUUUUAUCUUAUGUAAUAAAUGUGAUGUUUUAUAUAAAUUUAUUCUCAAAAUUAGAUUUUGAAAUCUAUUCUUUUAAUGUUUUUCGAAUUUAUUGUAAGAUGACAUGAUUUUUCAUCCUUCUAAAUCUCCUCAUCAGCAAUGCAAAUAGUUUCUAAAUACAAGUAAGGGGUGACGGUUAAAAUUACAAGAAGUUUAUGUAAAACUCAAAACUAGAUUUAAUUUUAUUAAUAUGUCAUCUAUGUGUUUAGUAAUAUAAGAAUAUAUUUUUAUUUUAUUUUUUGUUUAAUCCACAUUAAGAUAAAUUAUUUCGCAUAGUUAACUUGUGUAGUAAAACAAAAAAAAAAAAUGACAGAAAAUGAAAAAAAAUAAGUUUAUAAAUAUCUUAAGACAAAUAUAGAAUUUAUUCUUAAACCAAUUUAGUAAAACUUAUUCUACUUGUUUUCAGUAUAAUUUUUUUGGUCUUAGAUUGAUGACUAUUUUUUUUUCAUUGUUUAGCUAAAGUAAAUGAAUAAAUUAUUUUUUCACUAAAAUUAUGUAGAAAUCAUGUUAAUUAUUUUAAUAAUUAACUGGUUUAUAUUAAUUUACAUGUUUUAUCUUCCAAUCACUUAUCUUAUGUAUAAUUUUAUAAAAUAUAUUUUUUACCACACCAUUAAUGCUGUAAUUCUAAUCAUGGCAUUAUAAAAUUUUCCAAUGUGGGGAAACUUCUUUACUCUAAAUAAAACUAGAGUUGUGUUGAGCACAAUUUAAAUAUCUAAACAGAGUUCCGUUGGCAUUAAACUUCAUUAUAAAAGAGUCUACAUUGGCAUCAUGCUAAUCUUAUUGACAAUAUAUAGUUGCCGGUAUUAAUUAUUUUUGCACCAUAGCUUCCGUAGAAUCAAUUGGGUACCCAGUUCCGGAUGAAGGGUUGGAACCGCCGUUGGAGCAUGUACAUAAGAUGGAGACAACUCGAAUGAGUAGUUUUGAAGAAUCAUUGCCGUGGCCAUUUUUGCUUCUACUAGAGCAAAAUUUUGUCCAACACAUAUCCUAGGACCCAAUGCGAAUGGGAAAUAUGAAACUUGAUUUUUCGCCGCCUUUGAAAUUCCUUCCGCAAACCUUUCCGGCUUAAACUCAACUGCAUCGUCACCCCAAAGUUCAGGAUCCUGGUGAACUAGGAUCAUUGGCAAGCCAAUUUGAACCCCAGCGGGUAAUGUCAAGUUUCCGAGUUUCGUUUCCUUAAAAACAGCUCGACUAAGCACAGUUACGGGCGGAUAAAGCCUGAGUACCUCGUAAAGUAUCAUCUGGACCUGUCACAUACAUACAAACACAACUGAGAUUAAUAUGAUCAAAUUGAUCAAUAUCGAAUACUAUUUCCUUCGUACUUACAAUUUUGAGGUGAUUCAAUCCAUCAUAGUCGGGCUUAUUAUUGCCAAACACUUGCAAAACCUCUUGCCUUGCACGUUCUUGCCAAUCUUGAUGCUUGCUCAAUAAGACCAUCGUCCAAUUAAGCAAAACAGAGGUAGUCUCUUGGCCGGCAAAGUAAAAUAGCUUACACUCUUCAAUCACAUCGUUCAUGCUGAACCCAACAUUUUUGUUAUUUCCAUGUUCUUCAAUCUCUCUAAAACUGGUUUCCAUCAGUAUGCCUAACAAGUCAUCAUUCGCAGCUUCCCCUGCUCUCAUUGCCUUCUCCCUAUUUUUGAUGAUUCCCAUCAAUGAAGCCCGGAUUUCCUUGUCAAUUUCUUUCAUUCUCCUAUUUCUCUUUGUAGGUAAAAACCUAUAUAUAACCAAUGAAACAACUGAAAAGACAAGAACUAAACAAACUAAUCAAACCCUUAAUUUUUUUUUUGCCCUCUUUUACCAAUCAGAAAUCUGCUGGAGCCUCUUAGAAUAACUCUAUGAUUAGCACAAUCAAGAUAUCUGAGCCGAAAUCAGCUAGGUCUACUUCUAAUAUUUUGCGGGAAAGAAAAUAACUCCCACAAAGCUAAUCAAAGCCUACUCAUAAAUAAUCCUAUAUGACAUGUAUAUAUGAAUGUUUCCAGUGAAGAGAAAUGUGAAUAUACCUCCAUCCUGGAAUGUGAACUGAACGAAAGACUUGCAUUGUGAGUUCAGCUAGCUCUGCCUGGAGCUGAAAAAUCCUUCUUCCUUCUUCAUAACUACUCCCAAAAGCCGUUCGAGAAAUCACAUCACUUGUUAAAUUUGCAAGAUAAGGCCAUACAUCCAACUCAGAUGAUCCUUCUACAGACAUUUGCUUCUCCCACUUUGUAAUUAUUUCGAUACAACUCAAGUAGAAUGCUGGCAACAUAAGCUGUAACAAAAGCAAGAAAUCUAAAUGAGGGCAAAAUCGAAUCUUCCAAAGAUAUGUAAACAAAUGGAGAAGUUAAUUAAUAAACCUUGAGCUUCUCUUGGUGGAAGGCUGGGUUGAUGAGUUUUCUAUGUUUAGCCCACUUCUCCCCCUCAAGGGUAGCCAAUCCAACUAUCAGCAGCCUGGCAAGUGGGAUUGAAUUGACUUUUUGAAAAUCAUUGAUCCUGGUAAAUAUCUCUUUUAUUUGAUCAGGAUUCAUAAUGUUCACCCUUGGUGUCGGACCAAACCACAUGAAAGAAUUCUUACCUGCAGAAUUUUUUUACCAAUAUAUACGCACAUGUUACUUGCUAGAGGCAGAUGGUACAUUGAAAAUGGUAGUAUACCUAAGCUGUGAAAAUUUAGUUAUUUUAUUCACAAAUCAGUCAAAGAAUAACCAUUCAUACUAAUUGAUUUUACUUCAAGCAGAAAAGAUCUAACAAGCAACUUUGCCCAUUAUAAGGUAAACAAUUAGAAACAUGGCACGAUUUUAUAAGAUUAUGUAAAAGCCUAAUGGCUUUGAAACAGUGAAUUAAUCAGACAACACUCAGCAAAAGGAACAACGCUGCCCUCUGGAAAUUUUACAUGUGGCAUAGCCCAUCCACUGGUUGAAUUACACCCACACGCCUAUCUCAUCAAGACAUUAGUGGUUCUAGCCACUCGGUCAAGGCUGAGUGGUAAAGUAUCACCACUUAAUUAAAAAGAAAAGAGAGAGAGAGAGAGAGAAGUUUAGCUGCAACAUCGAUUUUUUUCUCUGAUCAAAGAAGCGUAAAAAUAAAAUUAUGUUUUAACCCACCAAAAUUUUCCAGAAUUAUCUUUACGUGAAACAUCUCUUCUGAAUCAGAAGUCUAAUCAAAUUUCUUUCAUCAGACAGGAUUAAUUCUUUAAGCAGUGGCGCAGUCCAGAUAUUUGAGUCAUUUGAGUCCAGAACAGAACAAAUCUACUUUUGAACGAGUAAAGUUAAAAGAGUACACGCCGGGAUUGACAUACAUACCAUAAUCAUUUACCAGUUUAUGAAGGAAUGGAUUGACACGAAUAGCAAUAUUGUCAUCCAAACUGAGGGGUCUGGCUUUGGCUUCCUUCAGCUCGAUGGAAUUUUCUUUCAAGUCACCAAACAGAAGCCUGUAAGAAUUGCCUUUUAAACCUUGCUGUCUCAGGAAUUUCUCCAGCUUCUCGGGCCUCAGCCACACCCAGUUCAGCACUCUCCAUGCCCAUGUUAGCACCGUUACAAUAACAAUGGUCAAAGCUAUGGAUUUCAGAGGCAACUCCAUUUCACACUGACAGAUUUUGUGGGUUUAAAUUUGAAGAGACGAACGAGAAGAGUAUAUAUAGUCAUCAAGCGAAUGAGAAAAUCGUUUUCCUUUGCAUGUGUCUUUGAUUAGGUGUUUUCUGGAUCGAUGAUUUCAGAAUUUCCCCGGACAAAGACAUUGUCCCCAGUAAGCGGUGUUAACGAUACGUGUCAAGCUUGCAUGCGACUGUGAACUGUGGACUUUGUUCUAGAACUAGACUGUAUGGGAUCGAUUAAUUUUAAAAAAUAAACUAAAAUUCAUAUAGUAAGAAUUUUUAAGUAUAAAUGUUUGUAAAAUAAAAUCUAAACCUACAUUUGAAUGGCAAGCAUCUAUAAACAAGAUCUGUAUUCUGUCAUAUGACGCCAGGAAAUAUACUGCCUUUUCGUAAAUGCAUAAUCAAGCAGCAUGAUGUGCUCUGCUUUCACACGAAUGUAGGUCCACUAUGUCUUGGCUUUUACGGAAUUUCAAUUAUAUUGUUAUGGGGAUUAAUGGCUCUGCUUAAUUUUGGGGCCUGCUUUCAGAGAAAUGCAAAACGAUUAGAACUCUGCUUUGUGAUACAGACAAGACGCAAUGGUUCUAUCAUCUUCAUCUCUACUAUUUCAUUUAUCUUUAUCAUGAAUAUAAUCCACGAUUCUCAAACAUGAUAAACAAGGUCACAAACUAUGGUGUACCAAUCGGCUGUUUUUUUUUUUUAACUUAAUUAAUUUAAUUUUAACCAUUUAAAUCAUUGAGUCCAUUUAUUUUUUCAACUUAAUGAAAAUUUUCAAUCACUAAAUCAUUCAGUUAUCAAGCUAAUUUUUAAAUUUUUUGUUUAAUCUAAAAAGUCUAAAUAAUAACAUUAAAAGAUAUUCUCUAAAAUAUCUCUAUCUAAUUAAUUAAUUUUUACCCUUACCUAAAUAAAUUUUAAUAAUUGAUGUUAUUACCUACCUCUAUAACUUGUGAUAAUAUAGUGCACUAGUAGACUACUAUUAUUUUUAAUUUUUUAUUUUCUUCAAAUUAAAAUUAUUUAUCUUCAUAAUUUUUCAUCAAUAUUUUUCAUAUAAAAACAUCGUAAACUAUAGUAAAAAUGAUUAAUAUAUACUAAUUUAGAAUAUUAAAAAGAGUAUAGACAUUAUGAGACAGUAUCAUUAAGCAGCUACUGGAAUAAGAUGUUAUGAGCCUAAAUUUUAUAAGGUCAAAGUUGAAUUUGGCCGAUCCUCUAACCAAAAAAACUAAACAAGAGUUUAGUAGAGAUCACAUCAAGGGAGAUGGGACUAGUGUCUAGAUUAGAAGACAAGAGUGAUGGUAACCCUACCUAUGUGAUUGGAGAUCACAUGAAAAAUGUUCAAUAAGUUACUUGUUGUUUUGGAACACUAUCAAUAUUAUGUAAUCUUAUUUUUAUUCAAUAAAGAUUUUCUUUAUUUAUAAGUCCUCGUUAUAAUAAGAUAAUGUUUAUCGCAGUGAGUUAGGUUAAGCAAUUGAGCUUUUAAUGAACUCCAUAACUCACUUUUUAUGUAUGGUGGUGUGUUAAAACUGCAUGACAUACUUGAUGGAGGUUCACCUAUGUUAGUGUGGAAUUGGAUAAGUUCCUAUGAGAGUUAAACAUGCUUCUCUAGAGCGCUCAUGAAUACAAGAGCACAGGGCUACUAAAGUGCCAAACCGUAGAACAACAAAACAUUGAGAGAGUUUAAUGUGAGCUUCUAGUCAGCUGCCUUACAAAAAAAAGAAUAUUGGUUUAUAGAAAUUAUCAGUUUCACCAAGUUCCUAUGACACAUGGUUAGUUAUUCAAUGGCCAAUUCAUAACCCAAAUGGCACCAGUUCAUAUGCAUUAAACUCUAUGGACAAUGAUGAAAGAAAUUGAGUAUUUUGAAAUAUGUGGAGGAUUGUUAAAGAUUGAGUUUGUAUUUUAAAAUACCAAUAUUCCACAUUGCUUAAACAACAGAGUAUAAGUUGGUUUUUAUAUAGAUACCAAAUAUAGUGUAGUAACAAGCCUAUGAAGAGGAGGCCCAUAUGCAUGAAACCAAGAGCGAGUGAGGAGCUCAUUCCAUGACUCUAUUAAUUGGUUGCUCGUACCCAAUAACUCACUCGCAAUGGGGACCCUCCUUCCCCCCAUGGGGUGUUGUGUAUAUGUGUGGGCUUGGCCAUUUAUUAUGUUUUUGUCCUUUGUUUUAAUUUUAUUUAUUUUAAUUUGAAUUAAAUUGAGAAUUUAAUUCCUAAUCGAAUUAGGAUUUAAUAAAUAUAAUUAGAGUGAUGAUACAGCCAUAAACUCUUGUACAAACUUAUUUUGUACAAACUGAUGUGUCAUUAAUUCAUUGGCUGAAUAAAAAUAUAAAAUAAUAAAAAUAAAUCAUGUGGGCCAAGUAAUAUUUAAUUUAACCAAUCUUAUCAUGCCACAUCAGUUUGUACAAAAUAAGUUUGUACAAGAGUUCGUGACUAUAUCAUUACUCAUAUAAUUAUAAUUCGAAUUUAGAGAGGAAAAAGGGGUUAGGGCUUGUAUCUAUUUAAAGAGCCGAAUAUAUCACACUAUGGUCAUCCGAAAAUUUACUCUCUUGCUCUCUUCAUCCGAAAACUUACUCUCUUGCUCUCUGUUCUUUGUUGCUCUCUGUUUUCCUUUCUUUCGUCAUUGUACGUUUUGCUAUUCUAAACUAUCAAGUUGAAGUGCAACAUCACAAUCGUAAUAGUAAUUGUAUCAUAGAAAUCAAACUACUUUUGUUAGCCCUUCUUGCACCGAAAUACUGCAUCUUGAGAUAUCUUAAGGACAGUGCUAUCGCCAGCCUUAAAUGUUUGUUGUUUCCGUCCAAAUUUCAUUGUUUUUCAUCCUAAAAUUCCGACUGCUAGACCAGUAUAACUACUGGGGGAUAGAGCCUGGAUACCUAGUAGAAUAUCAUUUGAACAUGUAAGAUAUGCACACAAAAAGCAAAUUAAUACGACCAAAAUUUAUCAACUAUAGUAAAGCAUAUUUCAACUCAAUUUCAUUCGUACUUACAAUUUUGAGGUGAUUCAAUCCACCAUAAUCUUGCAAAAAACUUGCAAAAACUCUUUUCUUGCACGUUCUUGCCAAUCUUGAUGCUUGCUCAAUAGCAACAUUGUCCAAUUAAGCAAAACAGAGGUAGUCUCCUGGCCAGCAAAGUAAAAUUGCUUGCACUUUUCGAUCACAUCGUUGAAGCUUAUUCCAACAUUUUUGUUGUUUCCAUGUUCUUCAAUUUCUCUAAAAUUGGUCUCCAUCGGUAUGCCAAGUCAUCAUUUCCAGCUUCCUCUGCUUUCAUUGCCUUCUCUCUGUUUUUAAUUAUUCCCAUCAGUGAAGCUCGUAUUUGCUUGUCAAUUUCCUUCAUUCUCUUAUUUCUUUCUGAAGGUACCAGCCAGCCUAUAAGAAAUAGGAACAAUAGAAAAUACAAGAACGUAUUGAAUGCACUAAUCAAAUCCUACUUAUCGAUUUCAACAAUAUGAUUAACAUCUUAGAUUAACUAUAUGACGACAUGGAUCGAAGUUAUAAGCCCAGGAUGGGCCAAACCUACUUCCAUAUUUUUGAAAGAAAAUCAACUCCUACAUUGCUAAUUACUCCCAGAAGCCGUCCUCAGAAUCACAUCACUAGUUAAUUUUGCAAGAGAAGGCCGUACACCCAACUCACACGAUCCUCCUUUGGACGUCAGGUUCUCCCACUUUGUAAUUAUUUCACUACAACUUUGGUAGAACGCAGGCAACAUAAGUUGAAACGAAACAGAAAGAAAUUAAAAUGAAGACAUUUAUGUAAACAAAUGAAGAAAUCAAUUAAUAACCUAGAGCUUCUCUUGGUGGAACUGGUUCAUAAGAUUUCUAUAUUAACCCACUUGUCACCUCAUGGCUAACCAAUGCAAGUGCCAAUAAUCUGGCAAGUGGAUCUGAAUUGAUUUUUUGAAAAUCAUUGAUCUUGGUAGAUAUCUCUUUGAUUUGAUCGGGCUUCACAAUAUUCAACCUUCGUGUCGGACCGAACCACAUAAAUGAAUUAUUGCCUGCAUCAAUUUUUAAGCUCUGGUUAUUUUGCUCGUGGCAUAACUUACCACAGCUUGAGUUACACCCAUUAGCCCAUGAUAUCAAGAAAAUUAUUGGUCUCGCAAACAACAUAGCUCAAAUGUUUCAACACCAUACAUAUUUUCUUCAUUAAUAAAAAAACAAUUACGUUUUAACCCAUAAAAAUAUUCAAGAAUUAUCUUGAUGUGUAUGAUCUCUACUAACUACAAUUAUAACGAGAAGUCUAUUUGGAUUUCUUCCACUUAUAACAGCUCUACAAUUGUGCAAACUGAAUUAGUUUUAUUAAUAAUGGCACAAUCCAGUCGAGAUAUUAUCGUCUAAACUUUCUUUCAAGUCACCAAACAGAAGCCUGCAAGAAUUGCCUUUGAAACCUUUGCUGUCUCAGGAAUUUCUCCAGCUUCUUGGGCCCCUCAGCCACACCCAGUUCAGCACUCUCCAUGCCCAGUUCCCACUGUUACGAUAACAAUGGUCAGGUCUAUGGAUUUCAGGGGCAAUUCCAUUUCACACAGAGAGAUUUUUGAAGUGUUCAAAGAAAUGAGACUUGCCUACGUGGUAGAUUAGUUGAAAGUGAAUUAAAAAAAUAUUUUCGUUUGCAUAUGUUUAAUGGCUUUUCUUAGUUUCGAAUUUUCCUGUACCAUUAUAUUGUUUCCAGCUAAUGGUACACGUGUCAAUAUCAAUCAUGCAUGUGGUGAUCUUUGUGGACUUGUCACUCAUUGACUGUCUUCUAUAGAACUAGAGAAUGUAAGUUCGGUUAAUUAUUUGAAAAAAAAAAUUGUUUACCCCUAAUACAUUAAUUAUUCUCAAAAUAUCCUCAAACUAUAAUAAACAUUAAUCAAUCCACAAUUACUAUUAAGAAGGUAAAAAAAGAAAAAAGAAAUCAUCAAUCGUUCCCAUUUGAUCUUAUUUUUUGAAUGAUCAUUAGGGUAAAUUAAGGUUUACAAUAAUUUAGAGAUAACUGAAAUUAAUAAAAAAAUAAAUAAAAUAAAACUCAUCUAAAUAAAUUAUGCAUGGUGGGCCUAUUUGCGCUUUAAAAAAUACUCAAAAUAUACUAUUAUUUAUGUAUACUCAUUUACUUAUUUUAUAAAAAGGGUAGGGCUAUUUGCACUCUUAACAUUACUAUGAAUAUUCUUAUUUUAAUAAAUUAUUUUAUUACAAAAAUACCUAUUAUAUGAAUUACUAAUAUGGAAUCUCUCUUAUAAACUAACAUAAUAAAAUUACUCCAAACACUCACUAUUCAAUAUAUGAUUAUCUUGCCAUAAACCCGAAAAAUUUUUAAUCCAAUAUCUUAAACAAUAUUUAGUUAAACAAAGAGCAAAUCAAUACUUUUAAUAUAUUUUGAGCAUAUUUUUACUCUUUGAUUUUCAGAAGAAAAAAAAAAUUGCAGUCUUCUUCCUCUUCCUCAUCCUUCUUUUAGUCUUCUUUUUCUUCGGCUAUUUCUUCUUCCUCUUGUUUUCCUUUUUUUCUUUUUUUCUUUUUUUUUGGCUAGAUGGCAAAAAUAUUUUCAAUUGUUUGGUUAAAAAAUUGGGUGCAAAAACUAAUAUUGAAUACAUUCUUUAAUAGACAAAAGCUAAUAAAGAAUAUGUUUAGAAUAUAAUUUGAUUCCUUUGUGUACAUACUAAGUUGUUAUUAAUUCAUUUUGGAUGCUCAAUAGUUUAAUUGGUGUUUUGAGUAAAUUAGUUUAACUAGUUUAAUUAAGGUCUUUUUUUUGUAUUUUAAAGAGUGUAGAAAGUAAAUUUUAAUUAUUUUAAAUUCAGCACAUGAUUGUACAGACUAAUAAAGUGUUCAAAGUAAUUUUUGGAGUAUAAAUAACCUAAUCUUUUGAAAAAUGGUGGGACUAUUUGAAUCCACCAUAAUACUCAUUUGACCCACUUUUUAGAAAACAUUUUUACUACUAAAUUGUCUCUAACGUAAAUCACUAUUAAAGACAUAAUAGUAUGUAUAUACUUCAUGCUCUCAUCUUUUAAUCAUGUCUAAAUCUGUUCAAUGUAGACAUAAGAGAAAAUUGGUUUCAUACUUUUAAAUUUUUUUUAAAAUUUUCUUCAACUCCUUUGGUCGAAAACAAAUCUAAUCGAGUUGUUGGAUACUUGGAUUUGGUCAAAACUAUCUCACCAGUAAAGCUCAUUCGAAUCCAAUAAACCAAUAAGUUCUAGUCAAGAUAUUCUAGAUUCAAGCAAUAAAAUUUAGGAAAAUUAUCAGUCAUAUACUUUUAAAUGACACCCGCAUUAAACGUGUGUGAACACUUUUCAAAUGUAUCACUCGUGUACCCUAAGAUGACAAAACACUUCUGCCAUCCGCCAAUCCGUUAACUUCCGUUUGCAAGCGUUGACAUCAUAAGGGCAAUUUAGUCUUUUAAGAUUGACGAAACUUUGAUUUACAAAAACGACAUGUCAUCUCAUUUACCUAGUACAAAAUGACAUGUCAUAUGAUAUAUAUUGACAAAAAUGACAUGUCAUCCCAUUUAUCGGAUAAUUGUUAAUAAUUGCUAAAAAAACUACUUUACAACCGAAUCUACUCCUCUAAAAUUUAACCUAAUUUUGAAGAUCUACUCCUCCAAGUUCCAACUGGAAAGUUUUAUGGUAUAAUAUGUAUAAUUGUGAAUAAUAUGUUGUUAAUAAUUUUUUAUGGUAUAAUAUGGAUAUUUUUUAUGAAUAAUUGUUAAUAAUAUGUACCAUUAAUAAUUCAUUUUUUUAAUAAAAAAAUGUAUUGUUAAUAACAAAAUAAAAAAAAAUUGUGUAUUGAAAAUUUACGUUAAUUUUUGGGGUAAAUUUAUCUUUUUACCUUAUAUUUUGAGUUUCAAGGGUAAAAUAGUCAAUUUGUCACAAUUCUGUUAACUUUCUAAUGGAAGUUAACGAAUCUAAUGGAAGUUAACGAAUUGAUGGAUGGCAUAAGUGUUUUGUCAACUUAGGGUAUACGAGUAAUACACUUGAAAAGUGUUCACACACGUUUGAUACGGGUGUCAUUUAAGAGUAUAUGGCUGAUAAUUUCCCUAAAAUUUAUUUCAUUAAAUUUGCACUAUAUAAGAAAGGGAAAAGUUAUGCCAUUGACAAAUAUUGAGCGCUUGAAUUAGUUGUGUGAUCAAUUGAUUAUUGAUUACAACUAUCAUCUUAUUGUCAUUUAAUUUUUUCAUGAUAUUAUAUAUAUUUUAUAGCAGUUUAAUGACAAGCACGGACAAAAAAUAAAUUCCACUUGAGAAGUUGAAGGAUACGACCUUUGGUUAUGAAUGCGUCAAGGGUUGGAGAGAUGGAAGAAGAAGAAGAGAAGAAAAAUGUUGCAGAAAAUCAUGAAUUAAUUUCAAGGAUAUGUUGGUUAUUAACAUGGGUUUAUAAAGUAUAAUAUAAAAUUUUUAACAAUAGAAUUAAUAAGUAGAUGAGUUUACAAAGUAAUUUGGUGGGUUCAAAUAUACUCACUCUUUAAAAUAAUUAGUUUUUACUCUGCAUACUCUUUUUUUUUUUUUUAUGAGAAAGUAAAGCUUUCAAUUGAUUAAGAAGAAGAAAACAACAUCAACACCUAGACAGGGAAAUCACCUAUCCAGGUGACAGCAUCCUCAAACUCAAGAGCUACAUUAGCUAAGUUAUGGGCUAUUACAUUACACUUUCUUGGGACAAAACGAAUAGCUGCCGAGGCCUGGUUUUUCAACUCUGCUUGUAUUUCUUCAAUGUUCCAACAAAUUUUAGCUAAACUUUCCUUCUUGUUUAAAGUGAGCUCCACAACUUCCUUCAAGUCUGAUUCAACAAUGAAUUGGGCACAAUUUGUUUUCUGAGCUACUUGAAUACCGAGCAGCACUGCUUCUGCCUCCAUGUUUGCCACAUUUCCUUUUAAAGCUACUCUCUUAACAGCUGCAGCCAUGAUCUCAUAAAAUACUAAAAAAGCUACUCUCUUAACUCUAUACACUCUUUAAAAUACUAAAAAAGUCCUCAACAAAACCUUUAAGUAAAUCAAUUAAGAAUUUCAAGCUAAAAUAAAUCUAUACAUGUAAUCACAAUUUAUUAAAAAUGGUAGUAAAACUUUUAUAUUUGAAGUCAAGUACUUAAUUACCAAGCUUAAAUAAAUUAAACAAUUAAAAUUUAUUCAUCUUUUUAAAUUUUAAAAUAUUAUUAGUCAAAAGUUUCAAUAAUAAACUAAACUCAACUUAACAUAAAGUUAUUUGGGUGUCAUUGUUUCUUUGUCAUACACUCUACCUUUUUUUUUAAGAACCUACUGUUGACUGUUUUUCUAUCAAAAACUCCUUAAAAUAUUUAAAUUUUAUCUUCUAACUUGUCCUCUUGGUUAAUGUAACUAAUAACUAAAAUCUCAAAAUUCACAUAAAAGUUUAUGAAAUGUUGAUAUAUAGUUGUUACUAUAUUUUGUUUUUGUAAGUAUUGGCAUUUUUUCAAUUAAAUUAUUUUUAUAAAUAAAUUAAAACAGUAAUAAUAUUUUAGUCCCCAAAUCUUUUCAAUCUAUUCAAUAAAUAUAUAAUUUAAUUUUUUCAUGAAAUAAGUCACUAAUUCCAAUUGGGAAGAAAAUAUAAUUGAAUUAGGAACAUAUUUAAAAAUAAAAUAAAAACUCUAUUAUUUUAUAAAAAUUGAUAAAAAAAAAAAAAACAUAAGGGUAGUUAAAUUAGGGACAUAUAUGAAAAAAAUAAAACUAUAUUAUUAUAUAAAAUUAAUGAAAAAAUAAGGGGUAUAAAUAACUUUCCUGGACUAAUCCGGGCUACACCCCCGCUUAGGUCCGCCUGCGCACUCAUUACUCCAAAUACAACGUUUAAAUUUUAAAAUCAAAUUUUUACUAUGUAAAAUAUAUAAAUCUAAAAAAUAGUCUUGAAUUGUUUUUUUUUUUGGGGCUCCUGUUUUAUUAUUCUUUUUCUAAAGUAAUUUCUCUCUUCUUAUUAAAGGCUUGAGAUAAAUUAUAUAUCCCUUUUUCUUUUAUUGAAUCAUAGUUCUUCGUUUCUUUUAUUGAAUCAUAGUUCUUGUGAUUUUGAUUUUUAGUAUGUAUUGCCUACAAUUUAUCAUUGAGGUAUCAGUUACAUAAAUAUAAUUUUCCGUUAAUCUUAUUUCGAAGAUGUUAAUGAAAUAUAUUUGGUGAAAACGAUAUUAGAGUGAGGAUACGUGCACCCAUGACAAAAAUUUGCAAAGAAGUCUUCAAUCUUUCAAAUUUUCCAAUUGAUAAAGAAUUGAUUUAAAAAAGAAGAAGAAGAUGAUGAUGGUGAUUUAAGAUUUUAUAAUACAUGGGUGUGUCAAGGAUAUUUGUUUCAAGUUAAAAUUAUUCAAUCCUUAAUACUAAUUUCAUAAAAGGGCAUUUUUAUAAUAUAAAUUUUUAUUAAAUAAAGAGGAUUAAAAAUAACUUUUAGAAUAUAUAAAUAAAUAGCCUCACCCGAUUAUAAAGUACAAGGUCACUCGAUGAUGUCAUGAAUUUAUGUAAUCAAAUAUGAAUUAUGUAAAUGAAACAUAAGACUUAUAAAUUUAAUAUAAAACAUGUAAAUCAAUAUUAAUAGUGAAAUAACAUAUAAAUUAUGUAAAUAAAAUAUUAGACUUGUAAGUAGAAGGUAAAACAAACAAAUUAAUAUAAGAGUGAUAAAUUGGUAUAUUAUUGGUAAACAAAAGAAAAACUUACAAAUGUAAUAUAUAAUUUAUAAAUCAAUAUUAAGUGUGAAAUAAAAUAUAAAUUGCGUAAAUGAAACAUAAGACAUGUAAAUAAAAGAUAAAAAAAAGUAAAUUAAUAUAAGAUUGGUAAAUUAAUGUAUUGGUAGUAAACAAAAUAAAAAUUUAAAGACAUAAUAUAAAGCUAUAAAUCAAUAUUAAGUACAAAAUAAAACAUAAGUUUAGGUGUAAUUUACAAAAUUAAUAUAAGAGUUAUUAAAAAAAACUUACAAAUGUAAAAUAAAAACUCAUUAUAAUAUUGAUUACCUUAUUUAUUUAUUGAUUCUAUUUUAAAUUGAAUAAUGAUAGUUUUGGUCUUAUGUAAUAAAUGUGAUGUUUUAUAUAAAUUUAUUCUCAAAAUUAUAUUUUGAAAUCUAUUCUUUUAAUGUUUUUCAAAUUUAUUGUAAGAUGACAUGAUUUCUCAUCCUUCUAAAUCUCCUCAUUAGCAAUGCAAAUAGUUUCUAAAUACAAGUAAGAGGUGACGGUUAAAAUUACAAAAAGCAUCUGUAACACUCAAAAUUAGAUAUAAUUUUAUUGAUAUGUCAUAUAUCUGUUUAGUAAUAUAAGAAUAUGUUUUUUUUUUUUAAUCCACAUUAAGAUAAAUUAUUUCGCUUUGUUAACUUGUGUAGUAAAAAAAAAAAAACAAUGACAGAAAAUGAAAAAAAAAAGUUUAUAAAUAUCUUAAGACAAAUAUAGAAUUUAUUCUUAAACCAAUUCAAUAAAACUUAUUCUACUUGUUUUCAGUAUAAUUUUUUUGGUCUUAAAUUGAUGACUAUUUUUUUUUCAUUGUUUAGCUAAAGUAAUGAAUAAAUUAUUUUUUCACUAAAAUUAUGUAGAAAUCAUGUUAAUUGUUUUAAUAAUUAACUGGCUUAUAUUAAUUUACAUGUUUUAUCUUCCAAUCACUUGUCUUAUGUAUAAUUUUAUAAAAUAUAUUUUUUACCACAACAUUAAUGCUGUAAUUCUAAUCAUGGCAUUAUAAAAUUUUCCAAUGUGGGGAAACGUCUUUACUCUAAAUAAAACUAGAGUUGUGUUGAGCUCAAUUUAAAUAUCUAAACAGCUCUUGUCUAAGCUUUGAAUCUCAAUACAAAAUUAAAGGUGUGUUUGGCACGCAGCAUUACACCACAUUAAAACUCUGUAUUGUAUUAAAUCAAUACAAUAUCAUGUUUGGUAAAAAGUUAACUUUGUAUUAAACCUCAUUAUAAUACACCAAACGCCGCAAAAAAUAAACCCGUGGGGGAGUCGUAAUUAGGCCGCAUUGCAUUCGAAAAGAGAAAUAAAAUAUUUUCUUCUUCCAAACACGAUCCUCAGCCACGACCAUGAAACAAAAUUUCCCUUCUCAAAACCCAAAACAAUACUUUUCUCUCAAACUCACUCAUCUAUUCACUGAUUUUCCUCCAUUCUCCUUCAAUUUCUCAAGAGCCAAACAUAGCAAACGCCUUGUCAGUGCGGCCAAGCCCAGCCGUCGUGCAGCGUGAAUCAUUAAAUGAGUGGUGCAGCCGCAGCAUCUGAAUCUUUAAUUGGAGCGACGGUGUCAUUUGAAUUCGAACAACAGCGUGGUGCGGCGGUGGUGCUAUGGCGAGAUUCGAACGGAUUCACGUGCAGAUUUCAUUUUUCCAUUUAGGUAUUCAAGUGUUUUAGUUGAUGGCUCUAUAAAGCCAAAUAAAUAAAUAAAUAAAUAAUAAUAAUCUAUUGAAAUCAUUUUCAUGAAAUCUGGAAGUGUAGAGGCGUUGAUGUGAGAGAGAGUGAGUAAGAGGGUAGUGGAGAUUGUGGUGUUGAAUUGAUGAAUUUAGGAGAUGGGCAUUUUUUUUUUUAAUUUGUUGGCUUGUUUGUUGGUUUGAAUGUUUGUGUUCUGUUUUCUAGCAAUUGUUGUGGGAAUGAGGUGAAUGUUAAGAAUUUGGAGAAGAAUGUAAAAAUAUUGGUGAUUCGAAUUUUUCAAAAAAAAAAAGAAAAUCAUGGUUGAUUCUUGCAUGAAUAAGAUGAUUGCUGCUAGAACAGUCAGUUACUUUUUUUUUUCUGUUUCCCAAUGUUUCACUUUUCCAACUCUUGUUGAUUCAGGGGAAGCCUGAGUUGGUGGCCGAUGAUGAAACCAAGAUGGCACAGAUGGUUUGCUCUCCAACAAACCAUGAAGAGUACACGGCUUGUGGAAGUUAAAGGAGCAAAUUCUGGUUAUAUUCCUUGAAAAAUAUAUAUUACCUAGGCAUAGGUUACUGACCCUUAAUUGAAGGGGGCAUGUUUUGAUAAUAUGGGUAUCUGAAGUAUGAUUAAAUAACUUUAACAUGAAGUAACUUAAAAUGCUAUGUAUAGCUUAUGUGUUAAUAUAUCUUGUUAACUGUAUAGUUCCUAUUUUGUGCUGGGUUGCUGUAUUAAGAGUUUGAAUACUGUGGAACCUGAAGUAACGAUGACAAUUUAUUGAAUUAGGUUAUGACAAUUUAUUGAAUUAGGUUAAUUACAAUUAACACUAGUGUUACUCAUGAUUGCAAAGUUGUAUUUUUUGGUCCGAUUUUAUCCUAGGAAUGAUAUGAGAAGUUUUAAAUAUGGUGCUUUACUUAAGAUUUUAUAUGCCUUCUUGUGAAUUCAUGCAUACUUAUUCAUGUCUCACAUCUUCUCAUUGGGUGCUCAGAACGCAUUUUGGUAAUUGCAUGCAAUAACAUUGAGGGGUGAAUGGUGAUGGCCUCCUUAAAUGGAAGAAAUGAAUGAAUGGAUUAGGAGAAGCCACAGUAAGAGUGGAGUGCAUUUGAAAUUCCUAUCACACCCAUUUGGAUGCACUGUUUUCCACUCUAUUUAAAUUUCCUUUAUCCUUCAAAUUAAGUUGAAAGUAGUUUUGAAUUUUGAUGAUGGAGCCUUAGACUCUUGAAAAUCUUGAAGAUUGCGAUGUUGCUGAAGAGCAUGGAGAUGGAGUGAUUGCUGAAGAUGCUGAAGCUGGUGUUGCUAUUGUUGCUGCAAUAGUGAAGUUGUUGAGGUUAGUAGCAGCAUUGUAAAUGGCGGUGUUGUUGCUGCUGAAGAGAGCCCGCAUGGUAAGGGAUGAUAUUUGACAUUAUUUAUGGAUAUAGCAUAACCGUUCUUAUUCUAAUAUUCAACAUUAAUUUUACAGAUGAAGAGAAGCCUUAAUAUUGCUGCUUGCUAGGGAAAGAAUAAGUGAAGAGAAGCUGAAUCAGAUCUUAGAAGACAUGCUUGAAGGUUUUUUUUCCAAUAAAAAGAGAAGCAACAUCACAAAGACUACUUAUUGGGGCAAAAUUAAUAUUGGGAAGAAGAAUAAUCCGUGGGAAAAUGCUAUGUAGAUGCUCCUAAGAUAGAGAUAUAUGAGUUUUGUAACUAAGUUAAUAUCUUGGUUACUAAUUAUAGUGAAACACAUUUAUUUAGAUUCUUAUUAGGUUUAUUAUUUUCUUGGAACUUGCUGUGGACAAAGAAUUUAAUAUGUCAAGUGAAUUGUGUCUAUUGUACAUCGACUUUAACAUAUAAUAAAUCAAUAAAUGAUUCAAUUUUAACAGUACCUGUAUUUAUAUCAAUAAGACUUUCAAAGAUACUAUAAAUAUAAGUUUGUAUAUUUGAAACCCUAGUGUUCAAUAAAUUUGAAUAAUAUUAAUUUAUUAAUAAAUUAAUAUUUUUACAUUAUAAUUUAUUCAUAAAUUUAUAAUUUAUUAUAACUAAUAAUAAAUAUUUAAAUUUGAAUAAAUUUGAAUCAUAUUAAUUUAAAAUUAAUAAUAAUAUAAAUAAUAUAAAAUAUUAACACAAUUUAAAUAUAUUAAUAUAAUAUAAUAUAAUAUUUAAUUUCAAUUAAUCACAAAAAAAUAAUACAGUGUAGCACCAAAUAUUGUACAAUAUUAUUAUAAUACAGUACUAAUGCAAUACAGUAUAAUACAAUACAAUGUGCCAAACGCACCCUAAAUACAUUAAACUUCAUUAUAAAAAAGUCUACAUUGGCAUCAUGCUCAUCUUAUAGUUGCCGGUAUUAAUUAUUUUUGCACCAUAGUUUCCGUAGAAUCAAUUGGGUACCCAGUUCCGGAUGAAGGGUUGGAACCGCCGUUGGAGCAUGGACAUAGGAUGGAGACAACUCGAAUGAGUAGUUUUGAAGAAUCAUUGUCGUGGCCAUUUUUGCUUCUACUAGAGCAAAAUUUUGUCCAACACAUAUCCUAGGACCCAAUGCGAAUGGGAAAUAUGAAACUUGAUUUUUCGCCGCCUUUGAAAUUCCUUCCGCAAACCUUUCCGGCUUAAACUCAACUGCAUCGUCACCCCAAAGUUCAGGAUCCUGGUGAACUAGGAUCAUUGGCAAGCCAAUUUGAACCCCAGCGGGUAAUGUCAAGUUUCCGAGUUUCGUUUCCUUAAGAACAGCUCGACUAAGCAUAGUUACGGGCGGAUAAAGCCUGAGUACCUCAUAAAGUAUCAUCUGGACCUGUCACAUACAUACAAACACAACUGAGAUUAAUAUGAUCAAAUUGAUCAAUAUCGAAUACUAUUUCCUUCGUACUUACAAUUUUGAGGUGAUUCAAUCCAUCAUAGUCGGGCUUAUUAUUGCCAAACACUUGCAAAACCUCUUGCCUUGCACGUUCUUGCCAAUCUUGAUGCUUGCUCAAUAAGACCAUCGUCCAAUUAAGCAAAACAGAGGUAGUCUCUUGGCCGGCAAAGUAAAAUAGCUUACACUCUUCGAUCACAUCGUUCAUGCUGAACCCAACAUUUUUGUUAUUUCCAUGUUCUUCAAUCUCUCUAAAACUGGUUUCCAUCAGUAUGCCUAACAAGUCAUUAUUCGCAGCUUCCCCUGCUUUCAUUGCCUUCUCCCUAUUUUUGAUGAUUCCCAUCAAUGAAGCCCGGAUUUCCUUGUCAAUUUCUUUCAUUCUCCUAUUUCUCUUUGUAGGUAAAAACCUAUAUAUAAGCAAUGAAAGAACUGAAAAGACAAGAUCUAAACAAACUAAUCAAACCCUUAAUUUUUUUUUGCCCUCUUUUUACCAAUCAGAAAUCUGCUGGAGCCUCUUAGAAUAACUCUAUGAUUAGCACAAUCAAGAUAUCUGAGCCGAAGUCAGCUAG